UUUUUUUUUUUUUUUUCCUUUUUCCAGAUUAGUUUCUCUUACUUUGUUCUAAUGGAAAAUGAUCAAGAACUUGGAUGUUUAAUCUCUUGAUUUUGUUGUAAAAUUUGAAGCUUCAAUGCUUUGAGGCCUCAUUUCAUACGACAAACUACUGUUCGCCUCAUUUCCUUUAUGCGCCAUGAUUCUCCUCAUUCACACACUCAAAACGCCACAAGUCGUGUCAGAUUAAAUUUACCAAUAAUCUAUCAACGUUAGAGAGUAAUAUCCAUAUCCUCUGUUUAGUAUGCAAUCUGAAUUCUCUUUUUACGAUUCACGAUUCAUUAAAACAAAUGAGAUUACUCAGAAUUCUCCUCUUUUACCUUUGGUUCUUUUGCUUAGAAAAGUCAACCCAUUGACCGGUCAGAUGAACAGCGCCGGUCAAAUCUUCAGGUUCUGCAGAUGAACAAAAGGGAGAAUGAAAUCAAACAAGCAGGAGAAGACGACCCUUUUUCCUUUUCCUUUUUCUUUUGCAUUGUCUUGGGCCGAUAUGUCGGCUGUGGACUCAAAGCAAGGAGAGCGACGGGUCGUUUUAACUUCAAAUCAACGUCAUCAUAUGGGGAAAAAAAAAGAAAGAACCUUUCACAAAAUCCCUCGUCGAAGCAAACCCAAAAGCAAAGAACAAGAUGAACCCACUUUACUGGCACAAAGUUGCUGCGAUUUCUGGUAAAGUGGUUCUCCCUUCGAUUCUCUUGUUGUUGCUUCGCGAUUAUGAUUUUCGAUUUGUGAUUUGAUUUUCGCUUUAAACAGGCGUUGCAGCUCUCGGAUUGGGCACGUACGGCGCUCAUGGUUUCAAACCCAAAAAUCCAGCUUAUAAAGAGGUUGAUUUGCUUCAUCUUUGAUUCGAUUUCUAUGAUUUGUUCUUCGAUUUGAUUUUGAUUGUUGGUUUGGUUUCAACGUUGUGAAGGUUUGGCAAACGGCGUCUCUUUAUCAUUUGGUUCACACAGCGGCUCUUCUUGCUGCCCCGUCGACCAAGAACCCUAACAUUGUAAGUUUGUAGCACCAUCGUUUUUGUAUAUAAAUUUUUUCUGAUCAUUUUGGGCAAAGUUUAUUGAUAAUCCAAACUUUUAACAAACGAUUAUUCAGCUAGUCUUACCUGAAAGUAAGCCCCAAUUUUAAAGUUUUGGGUAUGGUGGAAUUCAAAGCACGAGAUGAUGUUAGGUUUCUUGGAAUGUUCAAACCCACAAAUAGAACUACUUGUAUGUCUAACCCUAACUUUUUUUUUUUUUGGUUUUUUUGUUGGAAAGGAUUACUUUCUCACAAUUUUUUUAUAAUCUACAAUUGCGAAAACAUAAAUGAGGUCUUGAAAACGGUUUUGUUUGUCGUUUUGGUUGAUUAUCAAAUAGUUAUCAAAUGAGACGUUACAUCAAAUGAAACGUUACAUCAAAUGAGACGUUACAUCAAAUGAGACGUUGCAUCAAAUGAGACGUUACAUUGUAGUUUAGGUUGGCAGAUAUUAAUAUUGAGGCUUAACUUACAAGUCUAGGUUCUCUUUAGAAGGACAAAGGAAAUAAAAAGGUCUUAGCAUAUGUUAGGUAAAAUAUUACACAAAUAGAAAUACAGAAAAAUUAGUACAAACACAAUUAUGCAUAGGUCAAUGUAAAUGGUACUCAUUCACAUCACAUGUUUACAAAUAUUUUAUAAGAUAAAGUUACUCAUCCAAAAUUCUCCUACUAUUUACUUUGAUUGGUCCUUUGAUUCUUUUCCCUCCUUUUUUCUUUUGUGACAGUUUGGAGGCCUUUUGACGGCUGGAAUCCUUGCAUUUUCUGGCACGUAAGUUACCCGUUUUCUUUUCCAUCUUCUAUGUCUGUUUGGAUCUCUUCUUUUUGCCUCUAAGUUCCUAUGAUUUAUCUUUUACAACAUUUCAUAUUCAAAAUUUCCCCUACAACAUUUUAUUGAAAUGAUAAAAGUAUCCCGCAGAAUACUUGAUCGACCGAGUGUAAUUAGAUGAAAAAGAAUACAUAGUAAGAGAUCGAUAAUGAAGUGUUUAACACAAAAGCAUUUGAUAAAAUAAACCACUUAUUGGUUACUUUUUUGCUAAGCACUUAGUGAAGUACUUUUCCAUUUCAAAUAUAUCCAAAAUUUGUAUACUAGAUUUGAUUUCUGUUACUUUUAUUGGGCAAAGAUGGCUCUGGAUUCAAUUUGAGAUCUCCACCAGUUUCCUUCCUUUUGGCAAUUCUCCACAUUGAACUCAUCUGUUUGUUAUGUUUAAGAGAUGAAUAAGAAUGUGUGGUUGCAACUUGCAUUGCAGGUGCUAUACUGUGGCUCUUCUUGAAGAUAGAAAGUAUUCUUCUUUAGCUCCAUUUGGUGGCUUUGCUUUCAUUGGUGCAUGGGCUAGCUUGCUCUUCUAAAUUUUCCCAGUUCCAAUAUGUUUACAAUCGUUCAAUGCUUUUCGCUAAAGGUAUCGGAUUCUUGAUUCAAUCCAUAUGUUGUGUUUAAGAUUUUAAAAAUGGGAAAUGAUCCAGGUGCAGUCUAAAUAGAGUUAGCUUAUGCCAUUUUCUUUGUAAAAGGUUCAGAAUAAAUAUAGCUCAUUGAGCAUACUUUAUUUUUGGGCAAUCUGUACUUUAUACUUUAUAAAAGAGUAGUAAUACUUUUGUUUUUUUAAGUAUGCCAAUUAAACUUUUAGAAGAUGUGUAAGGGAAGUUUGUUUUUGUAAUCAAUUUUAUUUUUAAGGGUUAAAAUCCAAAUGUUUGGUAUAAACUAAUGUUAAAUUAAAAUCAUGAGUUUAUAAUUCUGAUAUCUGUUUAUUGCUUAGGGAUUAAUUGAUAAAUUUGAUACAAUUUCAAAUUUUAGAGCUUUCGAGCUUUUGACACCAAUUAUGUGAGUUGAGCUAAGUUCGGUUUAACUUAAAAAGAAAAAUAAUUAUUUAAAUAAUAAAAAAUUGAGAGUGAUAAAGAUAUAUCAAAAUAGAGUAAAAAUCGAAAUUAUGCUCUUAUUUUGUUGUGUUUUUUAGUACAUUGACGUAUGGAGUUCAAAUCACGACGGUAAAUCUAAUUACGUACGUUUAAGAAUUAUAAUAAACGUUAUUAAGUUAAAUUAAAAAAAUGCUUAAAUAGAAAAAUUAAAUAAAAUAUUUAUAAUAUAAAAUUCUAUCAAUUUUCUUAUAACUUAUAAAUAUUUGGGUCAUUUAUUUUAACUUUGGAUUUCUUUCAAUAAACUUUUGAAUUUUUUAAAUACAGUCUAUUUAUUCAACUUUUAAAAAAUUUAAACUAUUCAACACAAAAUAGAUUGUCUGAAGUUUUGUAAACGAUAAAAUCCAACUUUAUAUUAAUUUUGUUUUUAAAUGUUAUGUGAUGGAUUUAUUAUUAUUAAUUUGUGGUGAUUUGAUCAAACCUCUUGCUAUUAUAUAGAAAAUUAAAAGGUUUUAGGUAUAAAUUAAAAAAGGUUGGAACUAAAUACAUACUAAACUUUAAAAGAUUAAUAAUGAUGGUUCUUUUUUAUGGAAAUUUAGUAUAAGGCUAAUAGUGUGUUUAGUUCUUUUUUAAAUUAAAAAAAAAAAGCUAAAAAUGAAGUUGAGAAAUAAUUUAUUUUAAAGUAAACAUUAAGAGCCAAAAUUUGAGAAAAUUAUAUAUAUAAAUUACGUAUAUAAACAUUUAUAAAAAAUCUAACAAAACAUAUAUAAAUGUUUAAAUUUUAAACUCAUUCUUUCCUUGAAAUACAUUUAGACGUUCCACUCGGAUAAUUUGGUAAAUUCAACCUCCAAAGUGCGACCUUAUUUGCAAAAAUAAUUUAGGACUAAAUUUGGAAUUAAAAAAAAGAAAAGAAAAACAAGAAGGGAAUGCUGAGGGUGAGUAGGCUUGGCCACACUGGAUCACUCCUAUCUCCGGCCGGAGUCUCCCGCUUUCCCGCUUUUCAGCUUUCAUUUCUUUCACACUCCGAACUAUAAGCCCUAAACCCUCAAAUCCAUUUCUUCUUCUUCUUCUUCUUCAAUUGUUCUGUGGAUUAUGCACCAAUGUUUUCUCCCGGGACGAAGAGACGCAAUUUAAGCUCUCGAACAGACCGUACUUCCGCUCCACCCACCCAGUCUGAUUCUCCGAUUACACCACUCUCAGCCAUCCGUAACCCACCUCUCGGUAAUCUGGUGCCCAACCGUCCCGGCACCGGCACUCCCGCUCCUUGGGCUCCUCGCUUAUCCGUCCUUGCAAGGUAUUACUACCACCAUUGCUGUAUAUGUCUUUAGCUUGUCAGAGCUUUAAUUUUACUCAUUUCAGUGUGUCUACUCAGUUUUUAUAUUUGGUUCAUUGUCCACAGUGGUAACUAAGUUCGUUUGUGCGAGUUGUAGGUAACAAGGUGAUGAAAUCCAAUAGUUAUUCGUUGAAAUGAGAUUACCCUCUUGGUGGUUUUUUUUUCUUUCUCUUUUUAUUCCCGUUUAUUUGGUAAUUGGAGUGGGUUGAUGGCUAUCUUUAGUGGUAGUUAGAUAAUUGUUAGAACAAGAAUAAUCUGACCAAGUAUAAAUUAUAAUGUGCCUCUUGUUUUUUGAUUUUCCUUGUUGAUUUGGUGUGGUUCGAGAGUGCUUGUAAAAUGUGUAUUAAGGAUUUAAUGGUUAACAAUUUCUGUUUUAAUAGAAAGGUGUUUUCACUCAUUUGCUCAUUGGUUGCUACUUGUCUUAUAAGUCAUAACUUGUUUCCAUGUGGAGAAUGUUUAAUUAUAUCUUUUUUAUCUUCCUAGAAUUUCACCAGUUAAUAGAAGUGAUAAGGAAGAUGAGACAGAUCCAGUUAAGCCUGUCUAUGUUGGAGAGUUUCCCCAAGUGGUGCGUGAUGAGCAGGCUAGUCUUAUACAGCAGUUUGUUACAAGUAAUGAUGUUCAUUGCAGUAAAAAGUAGUUUUUAGUUCUUGAUGCUCCUAUUUUCUUUGCAUCAUGACUUGUUUUCUUCCCUUUUAGGUGGUGGAAGCAUGUCUGGUGGAAUGGAUGCCAAAACAUCCCUUGCUUGGAUUAUAUGCCGAGACAAGCUUUUUCUUUGGACAUACUUGUUACCCGUGGCCACCAUGAAGUGUGUUGUUCGUGAACUUCCAAAACACAUUUUAGAUAGCAAAGAUAUUGGCAGAAAUAACUAUGAUCAUUGGUUGCUCAGCAUUGUUAAUUGGGAUAGCCAAAGUCGAAGUUUAAGAAAGUCAAUUAAACACCAAAAUUCUGUUGGUGUUAUAAUCUGUAAUAAAAAAACAGGAGCUGUUGCGUAUUGGCCUGAUAUCUUUUCAGAUGGAGAAACUGCUCCAGUUACCUGUCUAACAUCUUCCCAUGAGCCAGCUCCAAUUUCAUCAUUUUAUGAUGGGAAGAUCGCUUCCCACAGAAAUCAAAGUAUGAAUAGACCAAGGACAUUCAACUCUUUGAUUGCCUCUGCGGUUCCUGAUUCCCAAUAUGUUUGUAUUGCCCUUGCCUGUAGUUCAAAUGGCCAGCUUUGGCAGUACCACUGCAGCCCUAUGGGAAUUCAGUGUACUAAAGUUUCUCAGGAUAUAUGUGGUCUUCACAGCCAAGAGGACGGUAGCUCGCAAUAUCUUGUGAAUGAUGGGUAUCCAAGGUCUCUAACUUGGUCUUGUUCUCGGCUUCAAUCAGAUAAAUUUAACAGGAAGUUCUUGCUUUUGACAGAUCAUGAGAUACAGUGUUUUUGUCUUAAACUUUUUCCUGAUGUACAAGUGUACAAGCUCUGGUCGUAUGAAAUUGUUGGUACAGAUAAUGAUUUGUGCAUUAAAAAAGAUUUAGCUGGUCAGAAAAGGAUCUGGCCUCUUGAUUUGCAGGAAGAUGAAGAAGGUGCAGUUAUCACUAUUUUAGUUGCUACACUCUGUAAGGAUCGCAUUAGUAGUUCUAGUUAUAUACAAUAUUCCCUUCUUACCUUGCAAUACAAAUCUGGGGCAGAAAUAGAUGCUAGUGGUGAUAAGAGGAUAUUGGAGAAAAAAGCCCCAAUACAAGUAAUAAUUCCAAAAGCAAGAGUAGAAAAUGAUGAUUUUUUGUUCUCCAUGAGACUUAGGGUUGGGGGCAAGCCUUCGGGAUCAGCCCUCAUUCUUUCUGGUGACGGAACGGCAACUGUCUCCCAUUACUAUAGAAGCUCCACGUUGUUGUAUCAAUUUGACUUACCUUAUGAUGCGGGUAAAGUAUUAGAUGCUUCAGUUCUUCCAUCUACAGAGCAUGGUGAAGGAGCUUGGGUUGUACUGACUGAGAAAGCAGGAAUAUGGGCAAUACCUGUAAAAGCUAUUGUCCUUGGUGGAGUUGAACCUCCUGAACGAAGUUUGUCACGCAGGGGAAGUUCAAAUGAACGAUCAGUGCAAGAUGACACUAGAAGCCCCAAUUUUUCUGGCAACAUUGCUAGUAACCGCAGUUUUGAUGUACAGGAUGUUGUGGAUAGAAAAAAGGCUACUUUGGCUGGAAUUGCACAUCGAACGGUUCGAGAUGAAGAAUCAGAAGCUUUGCUACGCCAACUUUUCCAUGAUUUCCUUUCAUCUGGUCAAGUAAAUAGCUCUCUUGAAAAGCUGAAGAAUUCUGGUGCAUUUGAUAGGGAGGAUGAAACAAAUGUGUUUACACGGAUGAGCAAGUCAAUUGUUGAUACCUUAGCUAAACAUUGGACUACAACAAGAGGUGCUGAGAUUGUGUCGAUGACUGUUGUUUCUACUCAGCUGAUGGACAAACAGCAGAAACAUGAAAAAUUUCUUCAGUUUCUUGCUUUAUCGAAGUGCCAUGAAGAGUUGUGUUUGAGACAAAGUAUGUUUCAAUUCAUUUUUAAUGCUAUUUCUCUGCAGUAUAUCAGUAGAUAUUUAGUAUUUACUUUUAAAUUGAGAACCUUUGUUAAUUUUCACCUCAUAUGCGUUUUUUGUUGGUAUGUUUCUUAAACUGGCAUAAAUGGUCUAGAUGCUUUUUCUGUCUUCGGAUGUUUAUUCUAGGGCAAUGAGUUUCUAUUUCUGAUUAUUCUUGGCAUUGGUUUGGACUCACAUCGGAAUUGGCUUGAUUUGGGACUCAAAAUUUUGUUCUUGGAUUGGGAAGGUAAUUUGUGAAGGUAAAAUAUCAAAUAUAAAUUAAUGAACCUGAAAUGUGGUCCUGAUACAUGCAGGAAAUUCUUUGCAAAUUAUACUGGAGCAUGGAGAAAAGCUUUCUGCCAUGAUUCAGUUAAGGGAACUGCAGAACACAAUUUGCCAAAACCGUUCAACUGGACUUGGCUCCUUGACUUCUAAUUCAGAAACUCCAACGUCAGGUGCUCUAUGGGAUCUUAUUCAGUUUGUUGGUGAACGAGCUCGUCGAAACACUGUUCUUCUAAUGGACAGAGAUAAUACUGAAGUGUUCUACAGUAAAGUUUCUGAGCUAGAAGAAGUAUUUCAUUGUUUAAACAAGCAGCUAGAUUUUGUGGUAAGUGCAGACGAAUCAUAUGUGGUCCAGAACCAGAGAGCUUGUGAACUCUCUAAAGCAUGUGUUACCAUCAUGCAUGCAGCUCUGCACUAUAAAAACGAGCAUCAGUUAUGGUAUCCACCAUCUGAAGGCUUAACACCUUGGUAUUGUCAACUGGUUGUGCGGAAUGGGCUAUGGCGCAUUGCUUCUCUCAUGCUUCAGCUUUUAAAUGAAGUUUCUGAGCUUGAUAUGUCUGCAAAAUCUGAUUUAUAUUGCCACCUGGAAUUAUUAACUGAAGUUCUUCUUGAGACUCAUGCUGGAGCUGUCACUGCAAAGGCAGAGCGUGGGGAAAAAACCGAAAGUCUUUUACAUAAAUUUUGGAGUAGAAGGGAUUCACUCCUCAGCUCUCUUUAUCAAAGAAUAAAAGAUUCUGUGGAAGCUGAGCAUAAGGUUUUUUUUCUUGCGUGACGUGUGCUUGUGACCAAGAUUUUGGAUCUGAAUUCAUAUUGAACGCAUGGUUUUGCAGGAUUUUAGGGGAGAUUUGGUGGAGCAAAAGAUAGAAAGCCUCAGGAAGCAUUCUUCACGUCUUUUAUCUGUUGCAAAACAGCAUGAAUGCUACAGCAUUCUAUGGGAAAUUUGCUGUGAUCUUAAUGAUCCGGAGCUACUCAGAAAACUUAUGGUAUGUAGUUCUGUAAUUUCAUUGCUUCAUUUGAUUUUUGCAAAUUUAUAUAUUAUUUUUUUAUAAUAUAUGGUGCUUGCAUUUGAUUGUUUAUCAUGCAUGGUGCUGCAGCAUGAGAGCAUGGGGCCUAAAGGAGGGUUUAGCUACUUUGUUUUUCAAAAACUUCAUGAAAAUAAACAGUUCUCCAAGCUUUUAAGACUAGGAGAAGAGUUUCAUGAAGAACUCUUGAUUUUCCUGAAGGAGCAUCCCGAACUUUUGUGGCUUCAUGAGCUGUUCCUCCAUCAAUUUUUCUCUGCAUCAGACACUCUCCAUGCAUUAGCUCUGUCUGAAGGUGAUGCACCUGUGGUCCCUGAAGUUGGGACAGAACUUGAAUCUGACCAAUCUAAUUCGGAAUUAAGAUUGGCAGAUCGAAAACGUCUUUUAUACCUCUCGAAGAUAGCUUUAAUGGCAGGUAUUACUCAACUUUGGUCAUGCAUUGAUCCUAUCCUUUCCAUUGUUUGUGUCCUUCCUCAAGAUCUUAACAUAUUUAUUUGUGCAUUGGUAUAGAGCAUUUUUUUUAUUUUAAAUAAGAAAACUUCCUUAAACAUGAAAAGGGAGGAAUCUCUCUCUCUCACGUGCUAGUCCAUCUUUUGGCCGGUUAGCUUACUUCAUUAAAUAUCAUAAUUCAUAUCCCUUAAAACAUUAAAUAUCAGAGUCGAUCUUUCCAGGAUUACACAUUAGAUGUUACUUAUAAGUUAUCCCUACCUCCAUGCUCGUAGGAAUGUAUUCUCUAUCUUAAACGCAUGUGUAUUGCCAAGGUGAUUCAAGAGUUUAUCUCUAUGCUGUGUCAUAUUAGGAAAUGCUGAUGUGGUGAUUAAAAUGUUUAUCUGUAGUAUUUCCAUCACUUGAUUGAACCUGAUAUGCAAUGGUGAUUGGUAGCUUCUGAAACCUAAUUGUUUUUAUUGAUAUUGUUUUUCUUAUUUAGCAGCAGCAGGUAAAAAUGGUGAGUAUGAGAGUAAGUUGAUGCGCAUUGAGGCUGAUGCAAAGAUACUUAAGUUACAGGUCGGUCUUCUUUCUGUGAUGGUAUAACUUGAUUGAACCUGCUUAAAUGUUGACGUCUUUGUCACCUCUGAUUUUUCAAUUAUUUCAUCUCAUCUUAUUCAUAUUAUAAACACACACACACACACAGUAAUAUUCUUAUAAACUUUUUGUUGAAUUGUUCACUUUUUUCUUAUUCUGUUCUUAAAACUACAGAACUAAAUUUUGCAAAUGUCCAAUACUAAAGUUAUUUAACCAAUAGAUAUCGAAGAAGAGAAGGACUCAUCAAGAAUUACUUGUCGUUCUGGAAAGAAAUAGUUAGUAGGUUUGAUAUUAAAAAAGUGCUGGUCUGCCCUUUUAAUUUAAGCAUGGAUACUACUACUCUAAGCAUUUUAAUGUGAUUGGCUUAGCUGUGUUAAACAUGAUAACUUUGAGGCAUCAAGCUCUUUUUUCUUUUUCAUUAGUUUUUCCAACUUUGGUUUAUAGACAUAAUCUCAUCCAUUGCCUGGUUGUUUCACCUGAUUCUAGGAAGUCAUUUUAGAUCUCUAUCAUGCUGUCGAAACAGAGCAGCAGCUUGACCGUGAACUCCUUCAUCCUGAUCGCCUUAUUCAACUGUGUCUCAAAGCCAAAGAACCAACCCUCUCGUUGAUGGCUUUCGACAUAUUUGCCUGGACCAGUACUUCAUUUCGUGAAAACCACCGAAAACUCUUGGAAGAGUGCUGGAAAAACGUUGCAGAUCAGGACGACUGGAAUGAACUUUAUCAAGUGUCUGUAGCUGAAGGAUGGAGUGAUGAAGAAACGAUAAAAAACUUGAGAGAGACAACUUUGUUCAAAGCUUCAAGUAGAUGCUAUGGAGAUGGAGCAACAGAAGUGUUUGGAGAAGAAGGAUUUGAUGUGGUUUUGCCUCUAAGACAAGAAAAUCUUGAAGGUGGUUCUAUACUGAAAGAUUGUUUAGGCUCUGUUGAGGCAAUACUAAUGCAACACAAACAUUUUCCUGAAGCAGGGAAGUUAAUGGUGACUGCCAUUAUGUUGGGAGUGAAGGAUUAUGAUGAUAGAGUGGAAAAUGAUCCGAUUUUGAUGGAUUAAUAUUAGUUUAUGUCAUUUUCCAUUCGAUGAAAGUUGUAGGCCAAUUGUGUUUUCUAUAAAACUCCAUCUAAGUUUUGGCUGCUACAUAUAUUUUCUCUUUGUCAUCCCCCAAAUUUUGUAUAUUUUUAGAUUUCUAAGAGAACAAUAUAUCAUUGAGACCGUGUUCUUUUUUUCUUUCUCCAUGAAGUCAAAUGAUGUAGAAAGUUUGUAUUGAAAAACAAAAAGAGAAUGAUAAGAGAUCAUACGAUUGGAUUUGUUAUCGAGAGGUUAAAACAAAGAUUAGAAGUAAGAUUGGGUGUGGGACAAAAGUAAUGAUUUGCUUCUCUUUAAUUGAAAAUUUCACUCACAUUUUACUUUUCCCAACUCAGACUAAAUAAAUUUUAAGAAACAUGCAUAAAUAUUUUACUAAAAUAUACAUAAUUAAUUAUCAAACAUUCAACUCAACAAAAUCGAUAUUUUAUAUAUAAAUAUUGUGAUCGUAAAUUCAAUAGUAUUAGUAAAAAAUGUCAAUGUUGAUGAACUCUUUUUAAAAAAUUAUAAUAACAAAAACAUUAAUAUUAUUAUUUACAUUUUUUUUUACAUAUAAUAGGGUCGGUUAAUAGUUAAAUAUAUAAUUUUUAUUUAAUAACUAUUUAUUGUUUUAUUAUGUUAUAGCGAUAAAUUUUAUUUCUGAACUUUGUAAAAAAAAUUUAUUCAACUUAAAAUUUUAGUUUUUAUUUUCCUUGGUAAAAAAAAUUGGUGUAAUAUUAGGAUGAUCAAUUAGAGUAUUUUUCAACUUUUUUUUUUAAUGCUCACAAGGUAUUUGUAAAACAUUUCAACUGUUCAAGUAUUUUUUAAAACAGAAGUUUAUGGUUUCUACUGAAAAUUAACAGUAAAAGUAUUUUUGAGUUCUUUUUAUUGAGAAUUUUUGGAAAAACAGCCAUUUUCAUGGAUAUAUAUAUAAUUUAACCUAUCAUUUGCCCCUUGAAAAUUGUAGGUAUAGACUAAUCUUUGGGGGGAUUUUUAAAAAUAAGUGAAAUACCAAAAAAGCCCUUGAAAACCUAAAUCCCAAAAACUAUUUAGUAAUCUUUAAUAAAUUAUUUCUAAAAUUUUCUUUAAUAAUCUUUUCAUUACAAUAUUUUAAUCAAUUUAUUUAGUAAUCUUUUCAUUAAAAUAUUUUAUAAAAUUUAUUUUUAAAAAUAUUAUCAAUAAAUUUAUUUAAAGGAAAGUUUUAAAUAAAUUUAUUUUAAUGAAAGAUUUCAAUAAAUUUAUUUAAUUAUUUUUUAUUAGUUUUUUAAUAAAUUUAUUUCAUAAUAUUUUCGUUAAAGUUUUUAACAAAUACAUUUAAUAAUGUUUUCAUUAAAAUAUUUUAAUAUUUAUUAAAUAAGCAUUUCAUCAAAAUAGUUUGAUAAAUUUAUUUAAUGAAAGAUUUCAUUAAAAUAUAUAAAUUUAUUUAUAAAUUUUGUAUAAAAUAUUUUAAUAAAUUUAUUUAAUGAAAUAUUUUCAAUAAAAUUAUUUAAAGGAAAGAUUCAAUAAAUUUAUUUUAAUGAAUUCAAAAAUUAUUUUAGUGAUAAAUUUCAAAAAAAUUAUUAACAAUUUUUUAUUAAAGUAUUUUAAUAAACUUUUCAUUAAAAUGUUUUAAUAAAUUUAUUUAAUGAAAUGGUUUCAAUAAAUUUAUUUAAAUAAAAUAUUUUCAAUAGGUUUAUUUAAAAGAAAGAUUUUAAUAAAUUUAAUUUAAGUAAAGAUUUCAAUAAAUUUAAUUUAAGUAAAGAUUUCAAACAAUUUAUUCUAGUGAAAUAUUUCAAAAAAAUUAUUUAAUAAUAUUUUAUUAAAAUUCUUUAAUAAAUUUAUUUAAUGAGUUUUCCUUUAAAAUAUUUUAAUAAAUCUAUUUAAGGAAAAUUUUCAAUAAUUUUAUUUAAAGGAAAAUUUUCAACAAAUUUAUUUUAACGAGAGAUUUUAAUAAAUUUAAUUUAAUGAGAGAUAACAUUAUUUAAGUGAAAACGUCAAGUAAACGUCCACUAUACGUAACACGAAAAAAACGUCAAGUAAAAUCUCCACUAUAUUUGACGCGAAUAAACUGUCAAAUAAAUCUCUACUAUAUUUGACGCGAAAACCAUGUCAUAUAAAAGUUAACGUAAAAAUUUUCUUUUUUAAAACCAUACCUGACAUGUUUUUUAUGUCAAGUUAAUGUUCACUACUUUUAACCCGAAUAAAAUGUCAAGUAAAAUCUACUUUAUACUUGACAAAAAAAAAAAAAAAAAAAAAACGUCAAAUAAAGCUAACAUAAAAUAAUUAAAAAAAAUUCGUGAAAACUUCAUAUUUUUUAAGACUAUACUUGACGUUUUUUCUUUAACAUAGUUCAUACUUGACGUUUUUUUAAUAAAAACGUCAAGUAUGUAAAAGUUGCUAGCGUCAAGUAAACCCAUUUUUGUAGUAGGGUACAUAUCUUAUAGAUAAAGCUAACAAUUUCCUCUCAGUCCAAAUUAACAUCUUAUACAGUCCACUCCAAAUGCUUGCCAUCAUCAUAUAAUCAUUUCAGUCUAUAGAGUCAAUUUACUCAUACCACUGCAUAAAUCAACCAUUAGCAUAAUGCUCCCUCGAACAAUUACAUUUAUACAUAAACAUCAUCCAUCUCAGUUCAAUUGAUUCAUCAUUCUCAUAAUCAUUAAAAUCCACGUUUAGCAUUCAAUUUCUUUUAAUCAUUGAAAUCUACACAUGUGUCCAAUAGUAAAAAUCUCUUACCUCGAUAUUAGCAUCAAAUCCUUGAUCGACAGUCACAAUUUGAGAUAAAUCCAAUAAUUAUUCCACAAUUUACCAAUUAUACCUUCAAGGAAAAAAAACCAAACUUACAGCCAAUUGUAAAAUUCCAUUACGAUCUAAAGAAUGGCUAUUUGGGUGUGUACUAAACCCACACAAACUCACCAAAAGGCUCAAGAAGGUUGAAGUGGCUUGGCUUAAAGAGGGCUGCUCAAAAUGGCUCGCAAUGGAAGAUGGUCCGCUCACGCGGCUGAGGGAGGAAAGUACGGGCUCGGCUAACUUCCCGUGGCAUCGUCAGACCGAGCAGAAACUGACGGAGACUGGUUUGAAAACGGAGAAGAAGAAGAGGGAGUUGAUGGGAGAAAGAUAGGAGGAGGGAGAUGGUGGCCGACAGUUGUGAAUUGAAGAAGAAGAUGGUGAAUAGGAUGAGAAUAGUAUUAUUUUAGUAGUAAUAAUAAUAAGGUAUGGGUUUGGUGGGGGAAAAUGGGGGACAAAAAUGCUUCUUCUUCUUUUUUUAUUUUUUUUUCACAUAAAUUUUUAUCUCCUUUCUUAAAAUUUUCAUAUGAUUUUCAAGUUAUUAACGAUACAAUGUUCAUUCUUCUUUUAAAAUUUCAUUACAAUCGGUUGGAAUACUCUAAACAUAAUUAAAAAUUUUCUUUUAAAAAUUUUAAAAUUUCAAGAGUGGAUUCUUUUGUAUGGUUAAAAAAACACACAUGAAUAAAUAAUGUUAAUAAUUUUUUUUUUUUUUGUUAAAAUUUGGAAUUUCAAAAGUAGAGUAUUAACAAACAAAUAAUUAUUUUAAAAUUUUAUUAAAAUCUUUUGAUAUAUUCUAAACAACAAUAAGAUAUUUUUGUAAAAUAAAUAAACAAAUAGAAUAGAGGUUGAAAAAGAUUUUAACAAAAUUCUAAAACAAUUAUUAACAUUUAUUAUUAUUAUUUUUUUAUUGGAGUGUGUCACUUGAAGAGACAGAUAUUUUAUGAAGAGGAAGAGGAAGAAAGUGGGAAGUGUGUGAUUGGGGGAGAUGCUUUUCUUCUUUGGCUUAGAGAGAAAUUACAUAAAAAAAAAAAAGCAAAGCUGAAGAGAGAGAGAAGAAAAAGGAUGCUUUUCUCUUUGAUUCACUUGAAACAAUCAUAUAAAAAUAAUGAAAGAACUGACAGUGACCACUUAUUUUUAGAGAAUUUGAAAGACUGGAAGGCAAGAAAGGGAAAGGACUAAAGGCAACUAAGAAACCCAAAAGAGAGAAUAGCUUUUGGAAAAACAGAAGUUGAAAAAAAAUAAAAUGAUCAAAAUCAAAACCCUCACACUAGACAGAGGAGAGAACUCGAAAACAAAUGAAAGAAUGUAUUGUUAAUGAAGAAAAGGAUAUCGUGCCAAGAAAGUUGAAAGGGUGAGUUUCUUAUUGUGGGUAUCGUGCGAAGAAAGUUGAAACGUGAAGCUCCAAGACGCAGCGUCGUGGAAGCCAUUUGCGACGUGUUGCAGCGUACGUUGGAGAAAUUUUCUUAGUCGUUGACGUGAGCUACGUUGGGGAAAGUAUCAUCGACGUGCCUGCCGACGUCCUCAACGACAUCACAGAGUUGGUAAGAAUUUUCGGCGACGCAUUGCCACAUUGGAGAAAAUCUUAUUUCUUACCAUGAAUUAAUAAAAAAAAUUGAGAAAAAGAAAAAGAAAAUCAAAAAAUAAUUAAGAAAAAGAAAAACUAAAGCAGUAGAAAUAAAUGAGAAAAGGGAAAAGAAAUUCAAUAGAAAUAAUUGAGAAAAAGGAAAACGAAACCAAUAGAAAUACUGAAAGAUUUUUUUCCAAUCAUUUCUUAUACAAUGUGAAACUUUUUAGAACUAGAAAUAGAAAAUAUUACCAAACUGGUAUAAAUGGUCUUUUUUUUGUUAUAUGGUUAAAUGCAUCAAUAUUUAUUUUUUGGGUUUCUUUAAUUUAUUAUUUCAUAAUGUUUAGGUCAAAAAGUGUUUUUCUUUAAUGAAUUUCCACCGCAUUUUAUUUUUCUUUAAAAUACAAUUUAACUUCCUAGGUUAUUAUCUAUCAUUAAAAAAACAUUAUAAACUUGAUUUGAGCAUUAAUAGAGUAUAAUAAAUCUUUCAAAUUGUAAAAAUGAAAACACUCUAAAUAAUUAAAUAAAUUUUCCUAAUAAAAUAAAAUGAAGAAAGGUUAGAUACUUAAACUAUAAAAAUGAAAUUUCAAUGAACUAAUUUAGAAAUGAAAAAAGGUAGAAAAAUCCAAACAAUGAGAUAUGUUUAGACCAAUGUUAGACUGAAUUACAAAAUUUGUUGCAAUUAUAGACUACCAAAUAAAUCUAUCCUAAUAAUCCCUAAACAGUAGAGGUUUUGCAAUAAUACCCCUUAAAUUAUGAAAUUGUUAUCUCCACCACCAAUGUUUUUAGGAUUAGGGUUUAAUUAUACUGAUUUUGUAAAUUUAUUGAAAUAUUUUAUAAAAAAAUAUAAAAAAAAAUGAUAUAUAGUUUUUUAUUUUUCUCAAAAUAAAACUAUCAUAAAAGAAUUCCUGUCCCUCUAAAAAGGUAGGAGAGAGAAAAAAAAAGUAGAAGACAUGAGAGAAAAAAAGGAGAUAUGAAUUCUAAGUUUGGAAAAUUUUGGUUGAUUAGAAAAGAAGGCAAGAAGGAGAAAAAUAGAGUGUGAAACUAAAUUUGGUUGCUUUGGCCUCUCAUAUUCUAAUUUUAAGUUUCCUUACUUUAUUUCAUUUUCAUUUCUUUUGUAUCAUAAAUGUUCGUUCAACAAAAAAGCUAAAAUAAUAUGAUAGAAACCACAAACCAACUCUAAAUUUUUUUUAUAGUUUUUGUCAUAUUUGUAAAUAAUAUUUUUUCUUUUUAUAUUUAAAAAAUGCCCAUAUUUAAAUGUAAAUCAAACUAGUUUUUUUCCAAACAUAUUAGUUUCCAGAACUCCAAAAAUUUAUGAGAACUAAAAAUUAGCCAUUUAUGAUGAUCUAGUUUUUUUCAAUUAAAUUAACUCGAGUUUUCUUCUUUUAGGGAUUAGACAUUAAUAUUUAAUAACUCCAUCCUAGUUAGAAUUUAUGAUGAUCUAAGAUGUACUUUCUUUUCUUUCUUUUUUUUUUGUUUGAAGUGAUCUUUUUAUGAAUGGACAUGUGAUUUGUCGUUUUAGUACAAUAAAAGACGGUAGGGUUUGAACCAUAAGCCUCUUAAUCGUUAAAAACUUAUAUGUUAUUUGAGUUAUACUUGUUUUGGUAAAUGUGCAAUAUGUUGGUUAAAUCUUAACAAAAAAUCUUUUUUUGAAAAAAAAUUAAUCAUUUCCAAUUAAGAGAUUAGAUGUUUGAAUCUUCGACUUCGCAUAUUAUAUUGUUUGAAUCAAAGAAAAACAAGUAUUGAUUUCAAAUUUUAAACUAUUAAGACCAUCUUUAUCGAUUUGUAAUCAAAGUUGGUGUAAUUAUAAUGAGAGAUUUAAUUAAUGGAUCAAUCAUAAUAUGCUUCAAUAAGAAAAAAAAGGUCACAAUAAUCAUUCAGCUAAGCUAAUGAAAUUCAUAAUCAUACAUUAAUAUCAUACAUUAUAACACUUAUAAUAUAAACAUGAUUAACCUAGGGUGACAUCCGUAAAACAUUUAAAUAGCAAUUAAACUUGUAAAAUUGGUCCAUAGGAAAAAAUAAAGCAAAAAAAUUUAAUAAUGAAGUUUUACAAAUAUCCUAAAAUUGCUUACAAAAUUCAAAAACAAGUCUCAAAACCUUCAAAAAAGAAAAAAAAACUUCGAACCGAGCCCAACCGAAGCCAAUUUUCGUGAACCGACGUAGAGCGCAUCUGAACUGCCAGUCGAGCCGUGUACGAGCUGUCAAUUUCUCCUCGAUGCUUGCUGACCUCACGCUACCGUCCUCGUGAUGUCAGCCUUCUUCAACCUCCAGAGGCUGCACGAAGGUUUUUCCACCUCGAUUUAUGUGUUGUGCUGAAAAAUGAAUAAAUGAAGGCCUUUCGAUGGUCUAUUUUACGAUCUAUUAGACUUAAAUAUGAAUUAGUAAAUACGUUUUCUAACUAAAAUAACUAUAAUCUUUUAGAACCUCUAAUACAAUAUUUAAUAUUUUAAUUCUUUUUUAAAGAAAAUAAAAAGUUACAUUGUAAUUUAUUAUAUUUAAUUGUUAAGUUAGAAAGUUAGCUAAUCAUGAAAAUGGUUAAUGUAGUGGUGCUUUUUCACUGAAUUGAGUGACUUCACACUGAAGGAAGCUAAGGGUCUAUCAUCGAGUGGAACUACUUGCUCGGGGGUGCGCACUCUUGCCUUUCCCAUAAGUCUAUUAUCCCUUUUUAUUUUUUUGAUCGGUGAACAGAUGCCUUUUUUUCUCUCAUAUUGGCUUGGGUGCCCCACCAGAAUCUGUACGGCUCAGUGGGAUUCUUCUUUUUUUUUUUCCCUUUCCCUCCGCCUGAAUCCCCGGCCUUCGAGCCCUUGAUAAAGGGCCUGUACGUCCACUUCCUCCUCCUCCCCCUGUGCUUUCUCCAAGUCCAAUUUUGAGCCUCAGUUCAUACGUACCCAGUCAAUAUUCUUUUGAACCUCUUUAAAUGUGGCCUCUUUAUUUUUUAUACCAACCACCAAUUUCAUGGACACACACACAUAUAUAUGAGCAAAGCUUACUUAAUGAGGAGUUUGCAUCGAGCUCCUGCUGAUCAUGUAUAGAAAUGUGCAUUUUUUUUGUGGUGUUACAUGACAGACGGCCGUUUGCUUUAUUAAUUUAUUUGUUUGUUUUGUUGAAUUCAGGUUUGAAGUAGUUUCCCCUCUACUUUUCAAUUAAGUGAUAAUAUUCCUUUCUUAUUUUUCUCAGGCUCUUUGACAAAAUGAUCCAUUCUCUUUUUAUAUUUUGUAUUUUUUUUUUCAUCUACUCUAUAGAUAAAUAAUUAAGAAAAUAACAACAAUAAGAUUAAAAAAGUAUAUAUGUAUUUUGUUGCUUAUGGUAUGUUUGAUGAGUUUAUCGUAUUUGGAAGAAUCAACUACAAACUUAGAAAAAAAAAGUGAGACGAAUUUCAUCCAAAGUACUUAAAAGUCUCUCUAUAUAUUGUUGGCCAAGAAAACUAAUAUAUAAUUUAACACAAAUCUUUUUUCUUUUAUGAUGUUGAAGAGAGAGAGAGAGAGAGAGAGAGAGAGAGAGAGAGAGAAUAAGAUGUUGAAAAGGGAAAAAAAGAAAAAGAAGGCUUUAUAUAAACAGUUGUGUUCAUAAGAUGUUGGUUUAUGUUAAGAAGAAAAAGGAAGUAAUAGGAUGUUAUUGCUUUUGUCCCAAUUUUGGCAUUGUGGGGCAGUGUAUGUGUAGUCAGUUUAGAUUAUUCUUUGAUAAAGUAUCAUUUAUAAAGCAUUCUGGUGUAAAUUAUGUGGGGAAGUGUAUGAAGGCUUUAUAUAUAAGUGAAUGUUAAUUUCGGUGGUGAAACUAAAAUUGUUGAACAAAAUCAAAAAGCAAUGUUUGAAGGAGGAACUGAUGAUAAUGGGGGUGGUGCUCAGCCGCUUCUGCUUGCUUCCCUCUCCGCCCCUACUACUACUACUUCAAACAAACCCGCUGGUUUCAAGUUGAUCCAGCAAAUAGUUUUAAGCAUUCGUUUCCUUCUGAUCUGCCUCAACAGAACCAGAUCGCCGCUGCCAUUACUUCAUACGCCCAUUGACGAUAUAAUCCCCUUGGAAGAAGAAAGGGCGGUGAUUGACGAUAUAAUCCCGUCGGAAGAAGAAAAGGAGGUCAUUGAUAUUGCCCGUUUGGAAAAAGAAAGGGAAAUGAAGAAGGAUCGUCUUAAGGAGAUUGUGAAAGAGAAGAAUUUAGCAGCACUAGAGACGGACUUCUGCGGUGUAGGGGAGGCUGUUUCAUUUCUUCAUUCCCAAUGGGACACACAGGUAAAAAACCUUUUUAUUUUUAUGUAUAUUGAGUUUAUUCCAUUAUUCAUGGCCUUCUUAGUGUAUCAAUUAUUUCAUAAUUUUCUAUAUAUAUAAUAUUUUUAAAUUUCGGUCAAGUUUGGUUCACAUCGAUAUAAAUCCAGUUAGGUUGGUUCGGUUUUCUGAAACCUCUUCCUUAAACCGACCGCCGACUGUUUUUCAUAAAAACCGACUAUUAGGUAUCGGUUCAUUAAAUUUCAGUCGUUUGGAUCGGUUUUUUGGUGUUGAUGCUCACCCUUAAUGAUCAUUGAUUGACUCUAGGUUUUAAGAUUGAAAAAAAUCUCAACCACUAAUUUGUUGGUUUUGAUCGAUGUCGUUGGUUUUAGAAAGAUAUAUGAAAUUGAUCAACUUAUGGUCGUUAGUUGUUUUGGUUGGUUUGAUUAGUUUUUCAUAGAUGAUGAUUCUCCCUAUUAUUCCUUCUUUGAAAGAGAGAAGAAACAACUCCACUUCACAUGAGUGUUGAGUUGAUUCUCUCUAUUUUUCAUAGAUGAUUCUCCCUAUUCGCUAACGUUCAUGUUUUUUGUUUUCGAUUCUUGUUUUCAUAUUUUAAGAGACGAAUGUGUUUUGUAAUGUUUGAUUUUUCUUGUUCUAAAAAAUUUCUCAUUUUAUAAUAAAUUAAUGGAAAAAAAAUAGUUUCUUCUAUUCUCAUUUUUCAAUUAUUUCUAUUGGUUUCAUUUUUUUUCUUAAUUAUUUUUUUGAAAUUCUUUUCCAUUUUCUUUCUUUUUUUUCAAUUCUUUUUCUAUUUAAUUUUCGUUUUUCCGUUUCCUCUCGUUAUUUCCCUUUUCUUCCUCUUAUUUCUAUCUCCUUCCCCAAAUAACCACCAUGGUUUCCCUUUUCUUCCUCUUAUCUUCAAGGAAAAGGAAAUCCCCAACUAACCUCUUAAAUUCCACUUUUUUUUUUUUUUUUUUUUUUUAUGUACUGUUUUUCUUUUUCCAAUUUGAUCUUUUCUCUUACAAACUAAAUUCAACUUUUUUUUCUCUUUAUUUUCCAUAUGAUUUUUUUUUUAUCUUUAUUCAUUCUUAAAAACUAAAUUGUAAUUUUUUAUAAUAAAAAAAUUCCACAUAAUUUUUUUAUCUUUAUGAAUUUUAUUUUUGUUCUUAAAAACAAAAUUCUACUUUUUUUAAAAAAAAAUUAUAUAAUUCUUUUUUAUUCAAUUUGAAUUUUAUUUUUCGUUUUUAAAAAUUAAAAUUUUAACUUUUAAUUUAAUACUAAUCUGUUUUUUUCCCAGGGAAAAAAACUAUUUUUUAAUGAAAAUCAAUUUUAUUUUUCUCAAGAAGGUGCUUUUGUCUCUUAUGAAUUUUCACCACGUUUUAUUUUUCUUUAAAAUACAAUUAAUUUCCUAAUUUCUUACCCAUGGAUAAAAAUUAUUAACUAAAAAUAAUUAAGUAUAUAAUGAUAUAUGAAUUUGUGAGAAAAUUGGGAAGUAUUAAGUAUAUAAUAAUUAAGAAAUCAUUAAACAAUGAUAGUAGAAAAAUUAAAAAGAAAAUUGACAAAUACCUUAUUUUGAGGAUUUUUGAUAUUAAAUUUGGAGAGAUUUGAUUAAUAAGAAUGUAAAAAGAAAAAAGUAAAAUGCAUGAGAGAAAAUAAAUUAAGUGUAAAAUGAAGAAAACAAAAAGAAACAAAAGAGGUGAGGUGGAGUGCCUCUGUUAAAGCCACGCACUCCAAUAAUAAAAACUACCUUAUUUAUGUAAAUAGUUUAAAAUUCACUCUUUUUUACCAAUUUAUUUUAAAAAAACACAUAACUAUCCAAAUCAAUCUUUCAAACUAUUCAAAUAUCAAAUAUCAUUUUCAACCUAUCAAACUUCUGUAUUUUCAUAAAAAAGUAAAAAACAGUCUACUUCAGCAAUUGCUGCUGUAUGUUCGGUUCAGUAUUUGACUUUAGUUUGUCAUUAUUGUAGAUUGAUGCAAUUGGGGAUUUAGCGCAAACAGGAUUCUGGGACUCAUUGCUCCUGUUUCUAAAAGCCUUUUGGUCAUCUUUGUACAACUCCUUCAACAGCUCUACAAUCUUGCUCUUGGUAUUUGCUGCUGGAUUUUCUUUGGCCAUCGGAUCCAUUGAACAAGGACUUAAACAUGGCUGGCACGAUUGUGUUGGUAUACUCCUAGCUGUUUUUCUUCUUCUAUUUUUCUCUUCGGUUUUAGGCUUUUGCAAGAAAAAGGCGGAGGAGAAGAAGCGUUUGAAGAUCAAGAAUAACUUUAAAGUGACUGUGAAAAGACAUGAAGAACUUCAGGAGAUAUCUGUAUUUGAUGUUAAGGAGGGAGAGAUUAUCCAUUUGAAGAAGGGUGAUCGUGUUCUUGCAGAUGGGUUGCUAAUAAAAGGUAACAACCUGAUUCUGGAUGAAGCAAUCAACUCCCACAUUGACCCUCGUCGAAAUCCAUUUCUGUUAUCUGGUUCUGUGGUUGAAUAUGGCGAAGGAGAGAUGCUUGCAGUAUCUAUCGAUCGCGACACUGCUUUUUGGAAAGGUCUGCUUGAUGUGAUUGUUUAUCCUUCACAAGAAACACUGUUCCAAUCUCGAAUCAACAAACCAUAUGAAUUUUUUGAAAAAUUCUCUCUUGGAUUGUAUUUGAUGGUGCUGCUUGUUGUUCUAACUCGUCUUCUUUGUGAAAAGCACGAGCAUGGUAAUUACUACAAUGAUAAGCCGGAAACUAAGGGGAAAUUGACGGUGGCCUUUAUAGGAAAUGCCUUCCAAAGAAUGUCCUUUGUGUUUGGGAAGUACAGAGUUUCCUCCGUGGCAACUGUUGUCUUUACCAUGGUAGUAGGAAUACAGCAUGGGAUGCCUCUUGCAAUCACUUUUUCCCUCUCUUUCUGGAGAGAAAAGAUGAGAAGAUCUCACAAAGUAAACUGUCAGAAUCUGUCAGCUUGCGGAACUUUGGGACUUGUUUCCGUAAUCUGUAUUGACGUCGCUGCUGAGUUGUCAUUUUGUGAUGUUGAGGUUGAUGAGUUUUACGUUGGAGAAGAAAAGAUCAACCCUGGUAUGGAAUUUCAUCUUGAUGUUCAUCAAGGCUUUGAGGCAGCAUCCAGAGUUUUACGCAUUGAUCCCAAGACUACUUUUCUUUCAGAAUAUUUGCUCGAUUUCUGGAAAAAUUCAGGAUUGAAAAUCAAUAAUGAACCUGAUCUUGAUCAGAUGUUUGACAUUAUUGAUCAUAAAUUCUUGAGCUCAGAAGAGAGCAUGGGAGUAUUGGUGAACAAAACUAGAGGAGGAGAUACUGUAUCAAAUCUUAUUCACGAGCACUUUUAUGGUGAUGCAUCAACUAUUCUGAAUAUGUGCUCAAAUUACUAUGACAUAGGAGGCAGAGUUCAUGACAUAGAAAACAGAAAUGAUGUGUUGCAAACGAAGAUUAAAGAAAUGGAAGAAAAGGGUUUAAGACCCAUUGCGUUUGCUUGUAAACAGAAAAACGAUCAAACAGGGUUUGAAGGAGAGUUAAAGCUGCUUGGAUAUAUGGGUCUUAAGAUCUCACAUGAAAAAAUACAGCAUGCCUUGAAAGAUCUUCAAAAUAUUGGUAUAAGAAUCAUAUUAACAUCAAAGGAUAACGUUUCUGUGAUCAUAAAAAUGGCUGGUGAUCUUGGAACUCGGUGUGAUCCCAACAACAGGCAGACUGAAGGUGAUCAAAGAUUGAGGGAAAUAUUAAUGAAGAACAAUGAAAGGGAGAAAAAUGAGCUAAUGAAGUCAAUUACUUUUAUGGGGAAAGCAACCUCUGACGACAAGCUUGUGUUAGUAAAAGAACUAAAAGCUAAGGGAGAAACUGUUGCUUUUAUAGGAGGUUUGACAUCAGGAGAUGUUCCAACUUUGAUAGAAGCUGAUAUUGGGAUUAUACAAGAAAACAGAAGUACUAAAGAAUGUAAACUGGUUUCUGAUCUGAGGUAUGAAGAUGUUACAUCCUUAAACCAUACACUAAAAUAUGGCAGAAGCAAUUACCUCAACAUUAAAAAAUUCUAUCAACUUCAACUCACUGCUUUAAUCUCUGGGCUUCUAAUAACUUUGAUCUGCACCAUGGUGUCUGGAAAAUCUCCCAUAACCUCAUUUCACCUCACAUGGGUGACUUUGAUUACUUGUCUUCUUGGUGGCCUGAUGAUGGUAAUGGAAUUAAAUGAUGAGGAAGUCCAAAACGUUGUCGGAGGCAGCGAUAGGAACCAAGCUCUGAUAACUCGAGACAUUGUGAAGAAGAUUGUGAUCCAUGUUCUGUGUCAAGCUUCUGUUUUCUUGAUUAUAGAGUAUUUGGGGCACAAGAUUGUACCCCAGAUGAAGGAAGAUGUGAGAGAUACCAUGAUUUUCAAUACUUACAUUCUCUGCCAAAUAGCAAAUCUUCUUGGUGCUAUCAGUGUGGGAUUGGUAACAAAUAGAGCAGCUGUUUUUCAAGUUGCGGUUCAAAUUCUGUGGGUUUUGAUUUUUGUGGUUGGAGUAUUGGCUGUGCAGGUGGUGGUUAUUGAGCUUCAUGGAACCAUUGUAAAUGGUGUGAAACUAAGUGCUUUGCAGUGGAUUAUUUGUUUCCUUUUUGCAUUGGCACUUGGAUGGGCUUCUUACAUAUUCUUGCACUUUGCUAUCCAUUGAACAUUAGGAUGGUUUUUUUGUGUUGAUAUAGUUUUGACCUAUUAUUUGCAUAAGGGUACACAAAAUUUAUUUUUAUAAUAUAUGAUUAUUAUAAUUUGUGUUUGAAGGGUAAGUAUUCUAAUUUGUGUUUGAAGGGUAAGUAUUCUAAUUUGUGUUUUGUAAUCUGAGUUUGGUGUGCAUAGAUGGUUUUAUUGUUUUCACUCAUUAAGAGGGUGUUUGAAGCUUAAACAAAGUUAUUAUAAUUUAAGAUUUUUAUAGUUUAUGUUUGUCAAGUGCAAAGUAUUAUAGUUGAAGUUUUGUAGUUUGUAUCUAGAGUAAGUAUUAUGAUAUUGAUUGUUAUAGUCUAUGUUUAAGGUGCAAAUUAUUAUAAUCUGCGUUAUAUUAUGUUUUUUUUUUUUUUCACUAUUAUUUGUUGGUAUACAUAUUUUAGGUAUAUAAAAUACCAUUUUUUUUUAAAACAUAAUUCAUAUUAUAUCUUCCACUAAUUUAUACAUACUAGAUUAUUACUGGUUGGGAUAUAUGUCUUCUAACAACUUUAUAUUAUAACAUAUUUUAUAGAAAUUAAUAGGUGAUUUAAUUAAACUUGUUAAUUUAAUAAAUUUAACUACAACCUUCAUGACUAUUGACAAAUUACAAUCUUCCUAUAUGACUAAGGACUAAUUACACAAUUAUCUAAACUUUUCUAUUCAAUAAUCUAAUGAUCUAUUAUUUAACAAAAAGUCAGGUAUAACUUAACUUUCAGCCUAAUAUAUAUAAUAACAUUAAUAUCAAUACAAAAAGAGGUAUUUAAGAAGUUUCUUAUGGUUACAAACUUCCCAAACCAAUUUUUAAAAAGACUUGCCCAGUUGAAAGAACUAUAUAAUAAUUCGAAAUUUGUCUUCCUCAUUAACUUAAGCAAGAAUCGCCAAAAAAAAUAAUUAAAAUGUUGCUAUAUAUAUAUAUAUAUAUUAAUAUUUCAAUAAAAUAAAGUAUUGGGCUUUGAAGGCUUCGUUAGUUUAGUCGGCCCAUUAAAAGUAGAAGAUUUAGUACAAAUAGAAACAUGUGGCUAUGUGAAUUGUGAAUGAUCCCACCAAUAUCUUGGAUGCCACGUGGCUUGGCAAUACGCCAUUAAUAAUCUGCAUGAAAAUCUGGGUUUGAGCAGAAGAACCAAUAGGAUGUUGCUGACUUGUAACAAUCCUAAUCCACUAUAUCUUUCCAUCCCCAAUAUAACCUCCAUUUUCACUACCUUCAUCCUCGUCUAAAACCAACCUUCACCCCUCCUUUGGCAUUGCAUCAAACUUCUUACAAAGCUUCAUACACUCAUGGCCACCUCUGCUAUUCAACAAUCCGCCUUCGCCGGCCAGACUGCCUUGAAGCAAUCCAAUGAGCUUGUCCGAAAGGUCGGUGCUCUCGGUGGCGCCCGCUUCACCAUGAGGCGGACAGUUAAGAGUGCUCCACAGAGCAUUUGGUAAACUCCCUUGUCCUUUAGAAGUUAAUUGUGACUGUUUACGUAGGUUUUUUAGGAUUAAAGGAAGUUUAGAACUGUUAAAAAAUUAGUGCUUUAAUGGGUUUUUUCUGCAUUUCCAUGCUCUAUGGUACUUUCCUGCAAUGAUAGGUUGAAUAAAAGAUCAGUUCAUUCAGUACAGUCCAUAGAAAGACGUUUAAACAUUUAUUGAAUUGAAUUGAAUUGUGAGCACAGUUAAGUAGGAAAUUCACCUAAUUGGGGAGUAAAUUUUAAUAUAUUAGUCAUUCUAAUUACAUAAAUUUUAAGAGGGGGAAGAACAAAGAAGAAAAAAUUUUAAGUUUGCACUAAAAAAAAAAAAAAUCAAGUUCCAUUUAAAACUCAACGCCUGUUUUCUUGACAUAUCAGGUAUGGACCUGAUCGCCCAAAGUACUUGGGACCAUUCUCUGAACAAACACCAUCUUACCUGACUGGAGAGUUCCCUGGUGACUAUGGAUGGGACACAGCCGGUCUGUCAGCAGAUCCCGAGACUUUUGCAAAGAACCGUGAGCUUGAGGUGAUCCACUCCCGAUGGGCCAUGCUUGGUGCGUUAGGUUGUGUCUUCCCUGAACUCCUUGCAAAGAAUGGCGUCAAGUUCGGUGAAUCAGUUUGGUUCAAGGCUGGUUCUCAGAUCUUCUCUGAGGGUGGUCUAGACUACCUUGGCAACCCAAACCUUAUCCAUGCUCAGAGUAUCCUUGCAAUCUGGGCUUGCCAGGUUGUGCUCAUGGGAUUUGUUGAAGGUUACCGUGUUGGUGGCGGUCCCCUUGGUGAAGGACUAGACCCAAUUUACCCAGGAGGUGCCUUCGACCCACUCGGAUUGGCAGAUGACCCAGAUGCAUUUGCUGAGUUGAAGGUCAAGGAACUUAAGAACGGAAGGCUGGCAAUGUUCUCCAUGUUCGGAUUCUUUGUCCAGGCUAUCGUCACCGGCAAGGGUCCUAUUGAGAAUCUCUUUGACCAUGUCGCAGAUCCUGUUGCCAACAAUGCAUGGGCUUAUGCCACCAACUUUGUCCCCGGAAAAUGAAGAAACCUGUAGGAAACAACUAUCUGUUUUACACACUUAAGCAUCUCCUCCUGAAAAUCACAUGUUGAUGUAAUUUCUCAAGUAGAGACUCCCUGCAAUUAAAUCUGUAUCAGUAAAGUUCAAAAUUUUCUAUGCUUUGUGUUAUUUUCACGUAUAGAAUGUCAGCAGCAUCUCGGCAGAUGGCACACACUAUUCAUAGGUUUUAAAAAAUAUACUAAUUGAUUGAUCCAUAGGAAAGAUAAGAGGUUGACGAAGGGAUUGAAUGCUACAAAGAACGCUUUUCCUUUGUUUUGUUUGAGACAUAAAGAAACUAAAAUCAUGAAACUUUACAACCGAACUUAUAACCUCGAAAGACCUAAGAUAUACCAACUUGCAACGGAAAAUUACCUGAAUUCAUGAAGACAAGUAUUAGAUGAACACGAUGCUAGUUGCUCAAGUAGGAAGGAAAGAUUUACCACCCACUUAGAUGAGAAGAAGUCACCAAAAAUCUUUACAUGAACAAGACCCACUUUUAAAGUGAUGGAAUCGACUACCAUCUCUGAUAAUUAUCUCACGGUUGUAAAUAUGAGAAAGAAGUUUAGUCACAGCAUGGCAAUCGUUGCAGAUACGAAGAUUCUUUAUGAUGCGGAUAGGACUUCCGUGCUUGAUAUUAAGAAGACCAAAAGCUAUUGCUAACCUCUCACUGUGGGUUUCAAGUUCUGCUUCUUUCUCAUUAUCCUCUUCAAGGCAUAACAAAACUUGAGUUGUGUCGGGAAUAUGCCCCGCUACAUUCAAUUUCUUUUUCAUCUCACAUAGUUUGAUGUAUAUCUCUUCAGUUUGAGGAUGUGACUUAUCUCCCACGAUGAAUUCAUGAAUUGAACCUUGAUGCUCAAUGGAACUGCAUCCUGGAUCCUUUUUCAUUCCUUUCUUCUUCAUCAUUUCUCUUACUUGCCGAACCUUUUCCCACAAGCCAGCGGCAGCAUACAUGUUCGAAAGAAUAACAUAACAUCCAGUAGUAUCCGGUGCUAAAUCAAUCAGAUGUUGAGCUGCAUAUUCCCCCAUUCUUAUGUUUCCGUGUUUCCUUGAACCACUUAGUAGACUCGUCCAAAUUACUUUGUUUGCUUUGAUGGGCAUUCUCUCAAUGGUAUCCUUUGCCUCUUCAAGAUGUCCAGCUCGACACAGAACAUCGAUCAAGCAACCGUAGUGUUCGAUAGAGGGCUUGAUUCCAUAAUCAUAUGUCAUCAUCUUAAAGUACCGAUGUGCAUCUUCUGCAAAUCCUGCAUGACUACAAGCAUUCAACACUCCAAUAAAAGUAAUAGCAUGAGGCUUCAAUCCAGUUCUGCACAUUUCAUCAAAUAACUCAAGAGUUUGCUCGACCAAUCCAUGCAUUCCUAAGCCUACAAUGACAGACGUCCAAUGCCCCAAUUUCUUUUUGGGUAUAGACCGAAAAACUCUGAGGGCACUCUUAACGCUGCCACACUUGGAGUACAUUUCUAUCAGCAAUGUGCCGAGCACACCAUCUGUUUUGAAUCCACUUUUCACUAUAUAGGAAUGAACCCAUCUUCCCGUACCAAGACUAACCAUUCCUGAAGCUGCAGAAACAGCUCCAAGGAUAGUAGUAUAAUUGGGUGAUAUAUCUUCUCUCAACAUGACCUCAAACAGCUUCAAGGCUUUUGUAAACUGCUUGUUCCGCUCAUAUCCAGUGAUCAUCGAAUUCCAUGUAACGAGGCUUCUCUCUGGCAUCUGAUCGAAUAAUUCUUUUGCCGUGUUAGAAUCCCCUGCUUUCAUGUACCCAUUAAUCAUAGCAUUCCAAGAUACAGAAUUUCGAAUAGGCAUUCGAUCGAAUACGUCUCUAGCAGCCUCAAGCUUCCCACUUUUCGAAAGACCAUCAAUGAGAAUAGUCCACGAAAAAGAAUCCUUCUCUGGCAUUUCUUCAAACAUCUCCAGUGCCAAUUCAAUUUCACCACACCUAGCAUACCCAUCAAUCAAAGAAUUCCACGAUACUACAUCCUUAUCUUCCAUUCGAUCAAACACUUUCCUACACAGCUCAAUCUCACCACAUUUAGAAUACAUACUAACCAAACUACUCAAAACAAACUUAUCGACACCAAACCCAAUUUUCAAUACCAAGCCAUGAAUCUGUUUCCCUUCCUGUAAUGCACCCAAUCGAGCACAACCCUUUAGAACACAAGGCAAUGUAAAAGAAUCAGGCACGAAAUCACAAAGCAAUUUGCAGAACAACGCAAUGGCAUCAUUUGAACGUUGGUUCUCGAUGUAGCACUUGAUGAGUAAAUUCCAAGAAACCAAAGUGGGUUCUUGAAUCCAGUCGAAAAGGGAGUGAGCAUAUUGAAGAUUGUUGAUUCUGGGAUCUGCAUAAAGAGCCAAAAGACGAGAAGACACUGAAGGGUGAUUCAAGGAGGCUGUUUUGAUCGAGAGAGCGUGGAGUUGGUUUGCUUCUCGUUCGGUCCCGCAGUUUUGAAGAGGAAAAUGAAGGUUGGGAGGGAGAAAUGGUUGGAGGGAAUGUGAAAGCGUAGGGGAUAGCAUCAGAAUUCGAUUGAAUGGAACAAGAAAUUGAAGAAUGGAGCAGGGUUGUGAUUUUUGAAUACCCAAUUAAGACGUUGAUGAAUACAAUGUUAUACAUACAAGAAUGAAUGUAAAUUCAGAUUCAACAUUUGUUCAUCUAAUCCCUUCCAACAAUUUGUAGACCUCAAAUCAACAACCCAUUUUAAAGACCCAAAAUGUAACCCAAACUUUUUGUUUAAAAACUACCCUUAAACUAAAAAAAAAAAAGACUAAUUUAUUUUUAUUAUAUUUUCAUAAAUAUAUAAGAUUUUGAUAUAUCCAUCAAUUAUAUAAGAAAUUUGGGAACUUUAAAAACGGACUUUGAUUUUCUUUUAUGUUUUUGGAGAUGUGAAAUGCCCACUGUGUCCUCAAAUUCUCCAUUAAUUUGGCAAAUUUUGCUUCUGGAUCCUUCCUCUAUUCAAUCCCACAUUCUCACUUUCCUAUUUAUACUUCAAACCAAAACCCCCCUCUCUUCCUCCACAUCUCAACUCUCUAAACUUUCUUCUUUUUCAAUUUUCAAUUCUAUUCUCUCUUUUGGACUGUGCUUACUUGAUGAGGGCUUCGCUAUCUGGUCAGUGCGGAUUUAUUCUGUUCCCAUUUGACUCGUUCCCUUCGAAGCUAUAUCCAUCGUGUUACUUUUUCACAAUCUCUCCCUUUGCUUUCCAAUUCUUAUAGCGUUUGGGAGAACACUGGAGUAGCUACAUCUUUCUUUUUAUUAUCAUUUGCUCUAAUAUAAUGCCUUCAAUUGAAUUCUUUUUCUUUUUCCUUUUCUUUUGGGGAGGCAACGGUGAUGAGCCUUUUUGCAGACCUGUAAUGAUUUGCGAAUAUGAUCGCAAUUUCUUACGAACAUCUAAGGGACUGAGUUGCUUUUUUUAUUAUUAUUAAUUUUUUUUUUUCUUUCCAUUUCGAUUUGGAAUGAAGUGAGAAUAGCCCUAACGUGCGAUUAAUAAACAUGAUUGUUCUUGAGAAAUUCGAAUGAAUUUAGGGUUUGGUUGUGUUUUGUGAAAUGGAGGCUGUAGAACCCCAGAACGGAGUCGAGAAUUUAGGGUUUGGUUCUUGCUUUGUUUUGGUGUUAAUUUCAGUUACUGUUUUUUCUUUUUUGGAACUUCCAAUAAACUAAUAUCAUAUGAUUAAGAACUUAGAGAUAUGAGUUUGUGACUUUUUUUUUAAUACUAAAUUUGAAAACAUUUGAAUUUAGGAAUAACUAAUAGUUUUUAUUAAUUAGUCACUUUUUUUAAAAUAAAAAGUAACAAGGUUUUAUUUGAAAUUGUUUCCAAUAUUGAAUUAAUUUCUUAUGAAACUAUAAAAUGAUUUCUUGUGGGGUAGAUUUUUGGUUUGUUUUAUUGAUUAAUUAGAUUAAUUAUGAAUUUAUUUAAAGUAAAUAGAAGAAUUGAAUUCAAAGUCAGCAAAAGUUUUAAUAAACUUAGUGGGAUUUUCCUAUUGAAAAUUGAAUAAGGUGUUUCUAAGAUGAGUCUUCUCUUUUCAUCUUACCAAAGAUUCCUUUUGGUUGCAUAGAUUAAGUGUCAAACUUAUUUGCAUCACUUUUUUUACUAUUUAUUCAUGAGAUUUUAUAAGAUUAACCACUUUUGGUAGUGGUUCUCUCCAAAUCAAAAUUGUGUGGUGAAUUCAUAUCUAAUGGGAUAAUAUUUAUUCAAAGUUAGUAUUAUAUUUUUUUUUGUUGAAUGUUUCUAAUGUGAAAAGGAAGGAAUAAAAGUAGAUAUGUAUUGUGUAAAUUGGUUUGAGCAUUCACACCAUUAUAGAAAUCGUUUGAGAAUAUUAAAUUACUCAUUCACUCAAAAGCUUAAACAACCACACUCAAAAGCUUAAACAACCAGGAAGGGGUAAAUAAAAUUUGGCUUCAUUUUAUAAUUAAACUUAUUUAUUAGUGAUCUAAUGAAAAGAGUUUUAUAUAAUUGCUAUUAUUUUUAUUAUUGAACACAAAAAGUUUAUAUCAAAUUUAGAAGUAAAUAUAUACUCUUAUCAAACUCGAGUUUGCAAGUUUCUAAAUUCCAAAAUCUCACAAAAUCUCAAUUUUGCGUUAAACAAUCUUAAAUGACAUUUAAAUUCUAUAUAAGGUUGAGGAGAUAGUAAUAGCUUUUACACUUAUUUUUAAUAUUGUGAUAGGUUUAUAAUCUAAAAUUUUUGCCACUAAUGAUAUUUUAAUUAUCCAUCUAAAAGUUUUUCCAUAUUAGAAAAAAUUAAGGGUUGUUUUCAACAAAUUGUUUUAUUUUAAGUUACAAAACGAAAUAAAUCAUAUGGAAGAAAUUGAAAAUUUUGGAAUAAUUGAAACAAAAUAAAUCAUAUGGAAGAAAUUGAAAAUUUUGGAAUAAUUGAAACCAAAUCGUAUGGAUUGAACAAAUCAAUUUAUUGAAACUAUUUUACUUUCCCUUGUUUACAGAGAAACCAAAUUUAUGUGGAUGAAUUUACAAAAGACCUCAACUAUCAAAGAAGAAAAUCUUAAAUAAAUCCAACUUUACCAUUCGGGUAACCUCUCCACUCCUCUUUCAAAUUUAGGCCUAUGUCGUUGAAUCCUGGGCUGACCGUAUUCAACCCAUUUCUACUCGCAAACACUCGUCUUUCUUCUUUCUUCUCUCUAACAUUUUCUUCUGAAUCUCUGUCGGAGUGUGAGCCUUUCGUAACCAAAAGGGUUUGCCACUUCAAUCUCUGUCCAUUCGUCUUUCCUCUUCAGGGCUCUAAAAUCUGCUAAUUAUACCCUUCCCGUUGUGAAACCCAAUUAGAUCCUUUUCUGAUUUCUUGCCGUUCUCGCUGCUUUUAUCGACUAGGAAUCUCGAAUUCCUUUGGUGGGUAAGCUUUUUCUUCCUGUAUUUGAGUUGGGAAGUUGAUGAAUGAGUUGAUUUUAUGGUUUUUUUUCUUUUUCUUGUUUGAUCUUAUGUUCUCAUUUGUUUCUGUUUCUUACUGAGGGAGAUUGGUUUUCUUGCCCCCCUUAAAACGAUUCAUUGAGCUUUUGUUCAAACAGUGCUGCUGGGAGAUCUAGGUGCUCAGUUCAGUUGUGAUUUCUUGUAGUUGAUCUAGUUUUCAACUCGGUUUGUUGCUUGUGGUUCUGUUUCUUUUGGAGUUUGGUUGUGGAUAUGAUUUUAAACGAGUUAGAAAUAUGAACACUUUUUCCCCCCUCCUUGAGUACAUUGCGGAAGGGCUUUUCUGCCAUGGUUAACUGCAAUCAGGUUUUUCUUUUGGACAAUAUCCCCGCCUGAACCUGAAAUCUUAGUGCUCUUUUCUUAUAGUUCUUAUCAGAUGAGUGAUUUUAUCACGCUUGGUAAUAAUUUAUUUUUUAGUUUUCAAAACUUGGCUUAGUACUUGAAAAUACAAACGUAGAUAGUAAAACAAAGGAACUUAUGGGUGAAAGUAGUGUCUAUAAGUUGGAUUUUCAAGAAUAAGAAAUCAAAUGCAAUGGUUACUAAACGACUCCUAAUUAUUAGAUUUUUGAAACUUUUUAGUUUUGAGGUUAAAAAUUAGCUACGAGUUUCAAACCAUACACCAUUGAAUUUAGUGUUUUUCAUGGUUCUUUUCUUAUAGCAACAUUAAUGGGCUUUUUUGAAGGAUAGAAUAACUUAGUUUUCACUUUCUUUAUCCUAAAAUGGAAAUUAGGAGUUCUUUUCCGAAUAUUGCCUAAACAAGUAAAGUGUUUAACGUAUAGUGAAUAUUUGUACUUGUGUAGUGAAGGAUGGUGGUUAUUAAUUCAUAUUGUCUUUCUUUUCUUAUAGCAAGUUUAAUGGGUGCAUCAUCUGGUUCCAACAUUCAUCACCAGCCUGCAUCAAAGAUGAUUCCCAUACGUCAACAACCAAGACCAGAGGAACUCCAGACCUCCCUUUCAUUAGUUUCUUCAGAACCCCAACAUUCACCUGAGGUACCCAGAUCUAAUUCUGACCAUGUUCAGGAGUCACCUGCUGAGAGUGCCAGUUCUCAAGAAACUUGGCCUAUUGGUGAUGGAGUGAUGGGAAAGAAGAUGGAAAAUGGAAAGGCAGAUAAUGACUAUGUGGAACAAUCAGUCAUUCGUCGUCUUUCUAGUGCUGAUAAAAUCUCCCUUCGUGACAUAGCAAGAGACAGAAUUGAGGUAAUUGCAGAAAAGAUGCAUCAUUUACCGGAGGAUUUUCUAGAAAAUUUGAAGAAUGGGCUUCGAAUUAUUCUUGAUGGAAACGGCGGUGCACAACAGAGAGACGAGAUUUUUAUUUUGCAAAAGCUAGUUCAGCGUAGAACUGAUUUAACUGCGAAGACAUUGAUUAGAGCUCAUAGGGUGCAACUUGAAAUUCUAGUUGCCAUCAAUACAGGAAUUCAGGCCUUCUUGCAUCCAAAUAUUAGCCUCUCUCAAACUACGCUCAUUGAGGUUUUUGCGUAUAAGAGAUGUAGAAAUAUUGCUUGCCAAAACCAGCUUCCAGCUGAUGAUUGCACCUGUGAGAUAUGUACCAGCAGAAAUGGUUUCUGCAAUCUCUGCAUGUGUGUAAUAUGCAACAAGUUUGAUUUUGAAGUUAACACUUGUCGUUGGAUUGGUUGUGACUUGUGUUCUCAUUGGUCUCACACUGAUUGUGCAAUUCGUGAUGGAAAGAUCUGCAUGGGCUCCUCAGUAAGAAUCGGGACAGCCCGGUCUGAAAUGCAUUUCAAGUGCCCAGCUUGCCAUCGGACAUCUGAGCUACUUGGUUGGGUUAGAGAUGUGUUUCAACAUUGUGCACCUUCCUGGGACCAAGAGUCUCUCCUAAAGGAGCUUGAUUUUGUCAGUAGAAUUUUUCGUGGAAGUGAGGACCACGGAGGGAGGAAACUAUUUUGGAAAUGUGAAGAACUCAAAGAGAAAAUGAAGAGUGGAGCUCUGGAGUCAGCAGCAGCAUGCAGAGCAAUAUUGAUGUUUUUUCAAGGUACAUCAUUGAUAAGGUCUUUAUAUUUUUGGAUUCGCUUGGAAUAGCUUCUGUGCACAAGAGACUGUUAAAGGGUGCAUGAUUCAGUUCCACUUCCAUGUAGAGAAACUGUCUAACAUAAAUUAAUUGGUUUCAUUUUCUAAUUUCUAAAAUGAGCAUGAUAUAUGAUUAUGUGUCCCCAAGAUGCUUGAUUUUUCUGUUGAUGAAUUUACUAGGCAGCUACUCUAUUAAAUGUUUUGGUUUUCAAAAUGUCCCUAUUUCAUAUGGUACAAACGAGUAAUAAUGGAAGAAGAUUUUCCUUUAGAAGUAGUCUUCUACUCUCUCCUAAAGUUCGAGGGGUGAAAUCUUUAAGCUUAUUCUUUUCCAUAGUUGCAAGAGUUAGUUAUAUGGAUAGCAUAUUUUUGGGAUACUUUUUUUAAAGAUAGUUUUAGUUGAUAUAACAUGUCUCUGGGGUGCUAUUUCUAUAGAAGUAAAAAGUAAAUUUCGUGGACUUUUCUAUUUGGUAUCCCAUGAAUGAGCUGAGAUUGAUAUUAGAGUUCAAGGAGCAAUCCGCUCCAUUUGAGAGGAGCUUUUUUGGUAAUUUUUUUCUCUUUUAUUUGGUUAAUUGAGCUAUCUUUUAGUUGUAUUUGCCUUUUGCCUAUCAGUUUUACUAGUAAUUAAUAAAAAUCUAACGUCCUUGCUCUUACUGAAGAGAACGAGACAGACUCUAUGAGUAGUCUUGAAAAUGGGGAGGGAGGAAGGUUAGCAGCCCCACAGGAAGCAUGCAACCGAAUUGCUGAGGUGGUGCAGGAGGUUAUAAGGAAAAUGGAAAUCGUUGCUAACGAGAAGAUGAGAAGCUGGAAAAAGGCUCGCAUGGAUGUUGAGGCCUUCAACCGUGAGGUUGAGGACAAGGCCAAGGAGGCAGCUGAAAUAAAGCUUGACAGACAGAGAAAGAAGGUACAAAUUGAAGAACUGGAGAAAAUCGUUAGACUUAAAUGUGCAGAAGCUGAUAUGUUCCAACUUAAGGCCAAUGAGGCAAAACGAGAGGCCGAGAGACUUCAGAGGAUUGCUCUUGCUAAAACAGACAAGUCCGAGGAAGAAUAUGCUAGCAGUUACCUGAAACAACGUCUGAAUGAAGCUGAGGCUGAAAAACAGUAUUUGCUUGAAAAGAUUAAGCUACAAGAAAGUUCCAGAGCUUCACAAAGUAGUGGUGGGGCUGAUCCGUCUCAAAUGCUUAUGUAUUCAAAAAUUCAAGAUCUACUCUAUAAUGUUUCUAAGCCUGACUCAGCUAAAUGAAUGGGAAUUCUUUGGGAUUAGUCCCUUAUGAAUGCUAAGGUCUAGGAGCACAAUGAUAUGUACAUUAAAAUCUUGUUACUUAUGUUGCUUUGUUGUCUGAUAAUGUAUGAAGUUGUUUCUCACUGGAUCUUCAGAUACUUGUAUCGUAAACAUAACCAAGUCAUUGGUUGCUUCUAUCAUGUCUAAAGUAGAUUGUUUAUGACAGACCGAGAUUCUGUUUGAUGCCCUGGGGGUGAGUUGAAAAAUAAAAAACAAAAGCAAAAAUAUAUUUUAUGAAGUCAAAUAACAUAACAGCAAAAUACAAUGCCUUAUUAGAAAGGUUGCUUAAAACUAAGAACUAUUAUCUAGAGAAUGACUGACGAAGCUAGGUACUUAUUUGAAUGAACUAGGGUACGUUGAUAGGAGCUGGAUGAAUUCAAUGCAGUGAACGGUUCUUCUUCAUUGUUGUAGACGGUAAAGAUUUUGCCCCUUUCUUUUCAUUCCUUUGAACUAUAGGUUCAGCUAAACUUUGCUUGGCAGGUAAAGUAUCUGAAAAGGAAUUUUUGUCAUACGAAAUUGCUGUGCUUAUACCAUGACAUCUUAUAGACGAGGUUAAGCACACGUUUGGGGUGACGAUGAGUGCAUCGUUUACACACACACCCAUCAUUCUGCUUUUGGUUAUUUUAAUCAUUCUGUUUGGGAUGCUUGAUGGAACCAAGCUGCCAUUCGGGAAGUGUGAAAGAUUGUUGAGUAGUAAUGUUGUGGGGAUAGAAUGGCGUAAAACGAAUUCUUCGAGUUGGUCCAGGGAGAUAUCAGCUUGAGAAAGUUCCUGAUCAGUAGGCAUGAAGAAGGUUAUAUCUGAAUUUUGCAAGGUUUUAUUGGAGUUGUUUAAGAUCUUGAGUAGUAUGACAAAGCCAUGGUAAGAUUUUAAUCUCAUCUCAUCCAUGGCUGCUUGCAGGUCGGUUUGGUUGGUCAUCGUAGCCUGAGCUUUUGCAACUAAAAAGAGAAGAACAAAAAACCAGGGUGUCAUUUGGGGUUAGAUUAGAAGAUCAAAAAGUGUAUUCAAGGUACAGAUACUAAAUCAAUGGAGAUUUUGGUGAAUUUAUAGCAGGGCAAGCAAGUUUUAGCCAUUUGAAGAAGGUGGAUGGCUUGUGUUUUUCACCAUACAAUUUGAACAGUAACAAUUAGUUAGGAGAGGUAGUUCAUGCCUCAAAAUUCUAUUGUUUCUUUGCCUUUUUCUUCAUUAAAAAUGCAUUUUUAGAUGCCAGCUUUGUAGAAAAUGCCACAAAAAGGGAAUGGCAUUAGGAAUCCCAUACCAAAAGUACAAGAAUGAGAAGUUUCAUAUCAGCAAAGUUUUGCUCCAUCCCCAGGAAUCACAGCCAAUUGAGCAAGAAGGGGUUUUGUUUUCCAUAUUUGGGAAACUUAGAUUUUCUAAUUUUAAUGGGAUAAUAUUCUGCGGUAACAAAGGAGAAGUAUAUUCAAUGUAAAGUAGAGAUUAUGAUAAUAAUCCUUUUCUAUAUUCACAUAAAACAAUUGAAGAAGAGAACGAGUUGAUGAUAAUACGCUUCUUUGAACCACUCAUUAACACUGUAAAGAUCCUCUGCCCUCACAUCUCAAAUUAUUUGCUUUGCUUUUUGCAAGUGACCAAAGAGAGAAAAUUAAAAAGAAAAGAAAAGAUGAUACAUAAAAAAAUACUUUCUUCAUCUCUCAAUCCACACACACUUGUGAUUAUACACUAAAACCUGUUUUAUUUGCUUCCACUUUGUUAGAGGAAAAGUUUGGCAUCCUCUAUAACGUUGUGCAUAUGUUUGAAACGCUUCUCAAAUAUUUUUGUCAACAAAAUCCCUAUUCAAAUCUUGCACAAAUGUUUACGAUGAAUAUAGGUUUUAGCAUUGCAAAAAUUAAGUAUAGUUUAACGAAUAUAAAAUACGUUUUCUCAAUAAAAAAAGUCAGAGAUUUGAAUCUUCAUGUUCCAUUUGAACUCAAAAAAGUGCUUUUAAGUACAAAUGUGUUUUGAAAUAGUUGAAGAGUCAUUUCAGUUAAGUUUUAAGCAAUGUUAUAUUAGGUUAGUUUUUGUUAUUAUUUACCUUAGACGAUCAAAUCUUACUUUUUGUUAAAGUUUACAUUCAAAUCUUACACAAAUGAUGAUGAUGAUGAAUAUAGCUAUUAACAUUAUCAUAGUGAAAGUCUACUUUAAACGUUGAUUUAGAACGACUACUCAAAUGUUGAUAAGUACUCUUAAGUAAAGUGUUAUGAAGCAGUUGAAAAGUCAUUCCAAAUAGUUUUAAAUUAGUUUUUGCUAUUAUUUAUAUUAGAAAUUCGAACCUUAGUUUUUAUUAUUAUCUACAACGACAUAGUGCAUAAAUAAUGAUGAACUUAGUUAUUAACAUUGCUGAAUUAAAGUAAGCAUAUACCGUCAACAAACAUGUAUAACUAAAAAUAUUGUUAAUAUUUAAUGGUUGAUUUAGAAUUACUGUCUAAAAGUGUUUAUAGAAUUGGUUUUAAAUUAUGUUAUUAUUUUUAAAUGCUAAUAUUUUUUAUUCUUAUCUACCUUUCAAGCCUAAAUCUUAACUUAUGUUAUUUUCUACCUUAGAAAUUGAAAUCUCUACCUCCAUAAAUGAAAUGAAUACCACAAGGCACAAAGUAUACCUUUGAUUUGAUAUACUUCAAUCAUAGUCAUUACGUUUGUUAGACCAACGGAUCAUAUAUUUCAUGUGCUUCAUUCAACAACUCUACCAAUGGUUUCUGCCUAUUCUAAAGAAACGUGAUGUGCUUUAAACUACUGACGACGACAACUUUAGCUUUUAGGACUUUGAUUGACUAACUGAUAGAUAUUGAGAUACACUCAUCCUCGAUAAGGUGGCCAAAGCUUUAGAUUCAUUUUUACAUUUAGUCAUCGGUAAUCUUAUAUAUCUAAAACUCUUCUAAGUUCUCUUAAGAAAAUUUGGAAUAUGGCUAAAAAUACCUCUUUGAGUCCAUGUGUUUUUAUAUUUAACAUAUUUGCUAAAUUUCACAAGAUGGAUUGAGAUAUGAAUUCUUUUUUAGUCAUUCAAACACCUCAUGUGGAUCUAGCUUUGAACAGCGUAGAACACGUUAUGAGAGAUGUCGAAGGGGGCUGGUUCUUCUGUUAUAUGCAUGCUAUUGGGGCAUGUAAUCAAUGCUAUUGGGGCAUGUAAUCAAGGACAUUGGUAGCCUAACAAAGGGUUGGCGCCAUUCAUGCAUCUUUCGAGAAUUCAACCCAUGAGCUAUAAAAAUGUCACUUCAUUGUAGCAAUGCUCCACCAACAUAAGAUAACAUAUGUUUCCUCAAACGAGUAUAGGAGAAGUUAAGACUUUUUGCCGUAUAAUUUCUUUUUUUAAAUCAAUGAGUGUCCAGGCCAAUCUACGCGCCAUUUGGGUGUCAAGAAUUUUUUUCUUUUCAUGUUGGGUUACAACACGACUGUUAGUUGUAAAAAUGAAUGUGUUUCAGAAAACACUUGAAAAAUAUAAGAAGAUUUAUUCUGUUAAGAAAUGUUGAGUAAUGCAUUUGUUUGUUUGUUGAUAAGCAACCAAUGAAUGAAACCCUAGCAAACUUUAACUUUAAUGAGGAGAAAUGUGCUUAAUAGGUACAAUUUCAUGUUUAAGGCAAUGUUAUUUACCCCUUGAUAGUAAGUCAAAUUUUAUGCUGAAGUAUAGGCCUUGUGUGCAAGGAAAAUCAACUAUUUGAUGUUCUUUAGUGAUGUUAUGGUUUGUGCUUGAAGCCUGGUCUCUCUCUACAUGUUUAUGUUUUAGUGGGUCAAAUGAAACUUUAGAAUGUAGUAACCUUAAGAAACUUAUCUUUAUUACUCUGCUGUUCCAAUGAAUUUGAACAUCGGCUGCCAUUCCAAACAAGAAUCAGCUUCUCAGGUUACAUGGAAAAGUCCUUGAAUCGUCCUGGGGAGCGAAGCGACAAUAGCUGCUUCAAUCAAACAUUGACUCUCUUUAUUACUAUGCUGUUCCAAUGAAAAUUGUGGUGGUAAUUAUCAUCUUUUACCAAUACUUCUGGUGUAUAAGGCAACAUAGACUAAAAUUUUAACCAACCCCUCAAAAUGAUUCUCAAGAUUCAUGGUCAAAAUAAGAAUAAGAUAAAUAACUUGUAUGUUUAACACCACAAUAAUUAGAUAGAAUUUCAAAUUAUUUGCACCACCUUUGAUAUAUAUGGCACAUUCCUUUGUUAGCGGAUCAUGAAAUCUUCAAGAGCAAUGAAGAUGAGAGAAAACUGCUUCUAAAUAUAUAAAAUUGGUUAAGGCUAAGCAAGUGAUCAUAGACAGUGACAUGGAAAUUUUUGGUUGAUAUUUUUAUAAUUAUAACAUUGUGAUCAAACAGUAGUAUAGAAAACCUAUUGAAUAUCAAAGCAUAAGUUACAUCAAUCAGGUUAAAAAUGGCAUACCAGAGAGAAAAUCCAAGGACUCUAGCAUCUUGGUAACUAUUAGCUAACUUUUAACAAGCUAUCUUUUAUUAAAGUGCUAUGAAAACCUACACGAUUGAUUUUAUUUUACCAGUUUAAUUAAUUUAUACAAACUAGUUAAUAAUCUGACUGUAGAGCUAUACCAUGAUUUGGUGCUGUUAUUAAUGUGUCUUGAUUGAUGAUACAAAUUUGAACCUGGAAGGGCAUGCUAUCUUAGCUUUCGAUUGCUACUUUCAGCUGCUUAUUUUGUUCACUCGCAACUCCUGGGCUAGGAUUUACCACCACCCCAUCGAGUAUAAUGUCAUCACUUGUUUCUGUUGCAUUCAACUUGCCAUUCUCUUCAAUCAAUUUGCCUUCAGAACCUGAUUGGACGUGAAAUAUAUUUGAGAGAAUAUUAUCACAAACCUCUGAUUUAUCUUCUACUCCUACACUGUUACUUACUUGAAUCACUUCGCGGAUCCUUACUAGCAUGAACCACCGUACUAACCGGUUUUGGUUUUGUUUCGUCACUCUGGGCUGUUGUGGAUCCAACUGAGUUCAACGUCACUGUUCUAAUAGGAGGCACAACAUGGUCAUGCUGGCCCUCAUAUGUGGUAAGCACUAUUUUGGGAUCAUGAGACGCCCUCUCUACAUGUUUCUUAACUGGACAUCCAGGACUUGAGCAUCUGUAGUAACUCCUGCCCAAAAUAAUAGCACAACCGUGAUUACCAAUGUACUUUGUAUUCAUUAGAAAAGUUGAACUUGUGUUCAAGAAUCAAGACUUUUUAAAUAAGUAGUUUCCAAGAUUGUAUCAUGCAUUGAAAGGGACUGCCUAAAACCAGACAUGGGACAUACUCUUUCUCCUUGCAGAGAUUGGUUCCAUGUUUGAGUUGGCAGUAAAAGAAAAGAGUAUGGUUGUUCCCCUCGUCCCCAAACCCUCCCAAUAUACAUGUGUAUGUAUAUAUAUAUAACUUCAUCAACGAACGAGCAUGAUGAGCAAUGAAAAGCAAAAGAAAUCUACUCAGGUAAAAUUAAGAAAUUAUCGCUCAGCAUAUACUCAUUAUCCGAGCACUCAUACAACUGUCCUACUUAAUUAUAUACAAUCUUAGACAAUAUUUUGCAAUUAAUUAAUCAAUACCUAGGAUUUGGAUUGCCUUUCACAAAUUUCUGUCCAUACUUCCGCCAGCGGUAUCCAUCAUUGACGAUGUCAACCUCACUAGGAGUUUGAACAACAACCCGAGAUUCAACAGUUGACUUGUCUGCUACUGUCGUCACGUCAAUAUUACAUCUUUUCUUCCUUUUGAAACUAAUUAAGCGUUAGUUCACAAAUUUAUUAAUAAAGAAAAAAAAAAAAAAACAGUCAGUGCUUUAGCGUACUCUCGUUUCAGGUCUGGUGUAUCGUCACUAUCAACCUCAUCAUUAGUCCUAGACCUUUUCGAAACUUCAUCUUUUACAUUAUCACUGGCUAUAACUGAUGGUGGUUGACGCAUAUCAGCAAGCUCAGUUUGUUGAGGUGUCUGGCUAAGUGCAAUGGAGGUUUUAUCUUCAAGUACCGAGGCAAUGAAAUACAUCAAAGAACUGUAUAUAACCAAAACAAGAUAUGAGUUACACAGUUUCUUUCUUACCUUGAGAAUUUCCAGAAGCAUGUUCACCUAAUUUUUCUUCAACCAUGGUAACGACUCCAACAGGAACUGGAAUAUGAGGUUGAGGUUUAGGAUGAUCGUGCUGACCAAAGUAAACAGUGUCUGUGAUUUUCCCAUCAUGAGUACGCUCCAGUUGUUUUUUCACCAUGCAAGUAGGAUGCGUACAUCUGUAAUAGCUUCUAACAAAGACAUUGCCCUUAACCAGUUUCUGACCAUAUUUCCGCCAGUUAAAUCCAUCCUCUGAUACUUUCUCUCGUAUACUGGAGGUAAUACAUACUUUCAAAACAGAUAGGGGAUUCUGUUCUGCAGUAAUUGGCUUAUGGGUCACUUUCUCAGUCACUAUACUAGAGAUUUCUCCUCGAUCCACUAGUGCUAUUGUAACCUCAGGCUGCUUGACAGCUUCUUCAAGUGUAUUACUGGAAGCCCCUGUGCAUUUGUGAUCUGAUUUCGAUGCAUUAGUUCCACCAGGAUCGUCCUGAGACGCUUGCGGUUGACUAUCUGAACUGUUUUCAUGAUCCAAUUGAUCGGAAUCAACUUCAUUCUCUAACUGGUCCCCGUCCCCUGUAGAAACCAUAUGCACAAGUACUGAACUUAGAUCAUAAACCAGAGAGCUCUAAAGAACUCUUAUUCUCCACAAUUUGAUUGACACAGAAACUGGAUCCCACGUCACGUCUAGCUGUAUACUGAAUCCUGGUAAGAAAUGCAACAAAAUGGAAAAUUGCUAAAAGUCAUUUUGGACUACCUCCAUAUAAUCAAAAUUCAAGAGGCCAGAUAUCAAACAAACAAUUUAUUAAUAUUAUUCGAGAAUGAUCGUGUCAUUGUGUGCGUAGACAAUUUACUUCAAACUUCAUAGUCAUGGUCAUAAAGAAAACGUGAAGAUUUCAUGCAUACUCAGCAUCCCCAAAUUCAUGCAUUAUAUAACCCCAAGCUGUUUCUAAUAUGAAAAUGUGUUUGUACGCAUGAAAAGUGGAAAUUUCAGUUUAGCCCAAGAACCCCCCCUCCCCAAAAAAAAAAAAUGGAAACUAGAGUGUCAGAGUUGAUUCAGACUACUAUAAUUUACAAUAUAGAAGAAGGAUUGACUUCGAAAAUAUACCGUACUAAAAUCAAAAUAUUGAACAUUUAAAAGUUUCGGGAAGUGGGAUAAGAUAUAUAUUAUUCAAUACAUGGAAAUAAUCUUCAUUCUCAAUUAAUAACCAAAAUUUUUUAAUAGAAAAAAGAAUAGACAUGGAAAUCGAAUUCAGUGCACAAUAAUCCACCACUUGCACACCAUCCGAUGAAAUCUUCGAGGCGAACAAAGAAACAAUGGUGUUCAAAGUAAAACUCUCACUCCAACUAAAGCUUAUAAAGAGAAGAAAAAGAAUUAGCUACUAAUUUCAUCCAAAACAUACGGACCAAGUAGGCUCAGCUUGAGCUGAGUAACUAGAUUCUCCGGCUCCAGUACGGAUCAAAAUAAUUAAGAUCCAAAUCACAAAACUCCGCCUUCAAUUUCAGAAACAAGAGAAAAAUAUCCACAUACUUAUCUGUUAUCUCCCUCCCCCCAAAAAAAAAAUUUACAACAAUAAUAUUGAGUUAGACAUGAGAAAGGGAAAAAAGCUCUACCUCCGGUUCAGUGCCAAAGGCUUGGAGUUUGAAGCCCUAGAAAAUCACAAAGGUGUAGUAAUUUGAGGUGGAAGCACAGAAUUCCGCUAGAAAUCAAUCACAGCCGUCAAAUACAAGUCCGGGUUCGGAAUUGGAGCAGGCGAAUCAGAGGUGCAGAAGACGAGGGAAGUGGGUAAGGAGACAAAGAAAUUGAAGUCAAAUUGAAGCUCCGAUGAAGAAGAAAAGAGAGAAGAUACCGGGAAGAGGAAGAAGAAGAGGAGGAGGAAGAAGAAGAAGAAGAAGAUAGAGAGAGAAGGAAUUGAAAUGGUUAGAGUUGAGAAGCAGUGAUUGGUGCUCCGGCUCCGAUGAAGUUCCCGGUAAAGUUGAUAACAGCUAAGAGCAUAUUCUAAGGCCGUUGUUUGGUAACGCACAAGCUUCCGCUUCUUAAUGCCAUGGUUUAUAUAUUACUAAUUUAUUACCAUAUUAUGUAUUUUAAAGUUUAACUAACAAAAUUACUUACCAUAUUAUCAAUUUAUAAGUUCUAUUUACAUUUUUUUUUGUUUGCGUUUGUAGAAUAGCGAAAAAAAAAUAUUUUUUUAAAUUACAAAAAUAGUAAAUUUAAAAGUUAAUAAUUGUGCAUAAUAGUAUAUCACUAAUUAUUUGUCAUAUUUAUUAUAUUUACAAUAUACAUUAAAAUGUGUUAUGAGUUAUUUUUUUUAAAUAUUUUUGUCUUCUAAUGUUUUUUUCCUGUGUCGAUAGUUGUUAAAUUUUAAAAUGGUUCAAUUUGGAAUGAAAUGUCAUUGUUUUAAUAUCGUGAAAAAUAGAAAAAACUGAUAAAACAUUUAUAAUUUGUAAAGAAAUAAAUAUAAUAAUUUUUGCUUUUUUAUUAAUUUUUUUAAAAUAAUUUAUUUUCUUUAAAACAGCUGAAAAACUUUUUCUGAAAAUAUUGUUUGGUGGAUAUUUCAAGAACAAAUUAUAAAAAAGAAAAUUAAAAUUUUUUAAAAAGUAUAUAUUUGUUUUUUUUAUGGUUUUUAAGUAAGUUAAAGAGGUUUAUUGUUUAUGUUACGUUUACUUAUGUGAUAUUUAUGGUUUAUUUUUUUCUUUUAAGUUUGACUACUUCUUCUCCUAUGUAAUGAAAAUAUCAAUUCAUCUUUUAUAUUGAUAUCAAAUUGAUAAAAAUGAUGGAAAGAACAAUAUAUCGAAUGGUUGAAUCAUUAUAAUAUUGUUCAUAUGAGAUUUUUAGAUAAAUUUAAUUCAUAGAAUUUUUACAAUGUUUUUUUGUAUAGUAUUGUUGAUACAAUUUUUAAUAUUUGAUAAUUUGAUGUUUUCUAUCCAACAUUAAAAUUCAAUUUUUUUAUUAAUUCUUUCAUCUUCAGGAAUUUGGAAAUUUAAGACUAAUUUGAGUUCCAAUAUUUUGAAAUUCAAAAAGUUUUAGUCUUGGGUAGAUGAGAACUUUAAAGUUCUGAAAUCCUCUUGGUCUCAAUUUUUAAAUUUCCCUAACGUAAACACUUCUUUUUGUUUAUUCUCAGGUAAGGUAUCUAUCUACAGAGGAUUCUCGUGGGCUUGGAACCAAUUGCUUAUUGGGCUUAAAUUGUUUUGUUAGGCCCAAUCUAUUUAUGAUUUUCAUUAUGGACUCAAGUUUUUCCAGGUGAUAACGUAACAAAAUUUAAUUGAUCAAAAUUCUCCAUUAACAUUUGUCUCUUGAAUUACGUGCUUUAAGAUAGAAAAAAAUAGGAUAAUGGUAAAGGUAGUAAUUAAAUUUAAAAUAAUUAAAUAUAUAACAAUAUUUUAAAAAUAUUAUAAAUAUAACAGAAUCUGUAAAUAAAAAAAAUGUGGUAGAUCAUAUUACAAAUAUUGAUCUAUUUACCAUGAGAGUCUAUUAUUAUAUAAUUUAUUUUGAACUUUUUUGAAUUUAUUUACAAUAUAGUAAAAGGAGUUUGAUAUUUAAACUUUCACCUCAUCUAAUUACUAUAUAUAUUUAACUGCAAAAUAUCUUGGUUUUGCUUUUUUUUUUUUCUUUUUUUACUUUGUUUUGUUCUAUUGUAUGGUAAAUAAUAAAAUGGAUUUUGUACAUAUUUUCAAGAAAUUAUAUUAUAUUCUAUGAUGAGCCAACUAAUUUAUAAUGUCGCUUGUCUAUCAAUGAAAACAUAUGAGUAUCUAUUAUUGGUAAACAGUGAGAUUUUGUUAUACUCAUAAAUGUUUUCAACAAUUUUAUCUUUUAAAACAACUAAUCUCUAUAUAUAGGUUAUUUUAUGUAUUUAAUAAUUAUGAUUUCGGUAAUAUCUAAUUGGUUUUGUUUUAUUAUGAUCCCAACUUCAAUAGUUUUCAUCAUUAAACUUUGCCCAUUGACUGAUGAACUCUACCCUCCAACGUUUGUAAUGACUCCACUUGUUAAUUAGCCAUUGUCGAUGAUCAACUUUUGUAGCAAACGACAAUUAUCUUCCCUACAUGCUACAAUGAUCAUCUAGGUAAGUUAAAGUGUUUUUAAAUACAAAAUUGUAAUGAAUUAGUUUAUAGUGUUUACGGCUUAAUAGUCGUCUUAUAUGAUAGUUUAAACCCUCGUAAGUUUAUUUUUGGUUUUACCCAAAAGAUCUUAUAGGAUUGGUGAUAAUUGCUCUCCUUUAUAUGCUCAUGAAUCAUGGAAAUUGAUACAGGACUUUGAUUGCAUUUAUUUUGCACUAAUGUACAUGCACAAUAAACUCUAAACUCCAAUUUAACAUAAGAAGCACUAAAAAGCCUUAAAUCUUUUGAUGACUUACAAUUUUUGUCAAAUGAUAUACUCACGCAUUUCAUGAAAGUAUAGUAUAAAUUUGAGUUUUAAGAGUUCACAAGUCCCCAAACUUUGCAUUGUGGGCUCCAAAAGUUUACAACUCCUUAAACUUUAUAUUAUGGAUCUUAAAAGUUCACAACUUCACCUUUGUCCUAAACAUCCGGAGUCUUGUGUUUGGAUGCCUAAAAAUUAUAGUAUUGUUUGAUAACGAUUUAGUUUUCACUUGAUACCAAUUCAUUUUAAUUUGAUUGUUUUUAAAAUUUAUGUUUGUUUUCUCUCAAAUUUUCAAUUAGUUUAAAAUAACACUUGAAACUAGUAAAAAUCUAAAAUUGAAAACAAACUUUUAAGAAACACGUCUUCUAGUUUUCAAAAGUACUUUAUUUUAGGCAAAAUUAAUAAAAAUAUUUUAAAAUAUAGCAAAGUAUUGUAGUUUAUCUACGAUACAUUACAAUAGACAACAAUAUUUGCCUAUUUGUGUCAUGAUACACACAAAUGGUUGUCUAUCAUAAAUGAUUAAAAUUUUAAGUUUCAUAUGAAAGUAUUAAAGAAGGUACUUAGGUAGUCUCAAUAGUUAGGUUAUGGUGUGGAAAUAUGUGCAUUGAUCAUCAUUUGAUUUUUUUUUCUUUUUGAAAAUUAAGAUGGUGAAUACUACUUUUUUUUAAAAAAAAAAAAUCGAUUAAAGGUCUCCUAAAGUAUGUGCAAAUAGUUACUAAACAAACCAUGACAAAGUAUACGUUUUUUUUUAGAUAUACAAUUUUAUUAAAAUUAGUGGAUCCUAUAUAUAAAAACAUGAUUCUUCUACUAACAAGAGUUUUCAAAACAUUCACCAAAAUUUAAGAAAAAAAUCAAAGACGAAAAAAGAUACCUACACCUUAUCAACAGUUAAAAAAGGUUAAAAUUUGAAGAAAAAAAAAAAAGUAGUUUUUAAAUUUUUAUUUUUGUUUUAGAAUUAUAAAAAAUUAAAAUUGUUAGUCAUAAAUAAUUUCAAACUACUUUUAUUAACGCUCACAUUCAGGGUCUCGUUUAAUAUUAUGAACAGUCUAGGGAAUUACUGGAAAAUUUCAAAACUUUAGGGCCUUUCAGCAAUAAAAUAAAAUUUGUAAGACACGCGCGUGUAACAAAGUCGCACGUGUUGCAAACCAUUGGCCGUAUGAGUCGGUGAGAGCUUCAAGUUUUCGUUUCCUAAAUUAUUUUCCAAACCCUAGAGACGCCAUAAUUUCUUCUCAAUCUUCUUCAGAUUCCGAUCGGGAAUUUUCUCUUUCGAUUGAUUCAAUUUUCUUUUUAAAUCGGAAUUCGUUAAUCUAGCUUUUCAAUCAUGCUUCUUUCUCCGGGUCAUUCUCCCCGGCACAUCUCAUCACCGUCGCCAUCGACGGUUUCCGAGAACGCGAUCCAGACUCUUCAGAGUUCGUCUUCGAUUACUACGCCUCAGAGCUCCAGGAAACACCCCAAGGUUCUUGAUGAGGAUUCUUAUGUGGAAGCAAUUGAGAAGAUUAUCGAGCGUGAUUACUUUCCCGAUAUUUCGAAGCUCAGAGAUCGUCUUGAUUGGCUUGAAGCGAUUAAAAGUGCAGACCCGAUUUUAAUCCGAGAUGCGCAGUUGAAGAUAAUGGAGCGUCGUGGUCAGAAGGUUAAACGUUUGAACCCUGAUGGUAAGUCUCAAACACCUGGUUCCACUUUUAUGAGAAGCUUUACCCCUUUUGAUGAAUUUGAGGGCAAAACCCCGAAAACCCCCGGCUUCGGUGGAAGCGGAGUCGUCGGUGUAACGGAGGAGGGUGGUUCUGAUGGUAAGGUGGUGGAUGAGUCGCUGUCGCUUGAUGAGUUUUUUAGGCAAUAUACGAGCGAGGAUAAUUUUAGUUUUUCGAAAAUUCUGGAGAAAGAUAAUAGGAAGAGGAAGGAGAGAUACGCUUAUUUGACGGAGGGUGAAAAGGAUGACGUGAAGUCAAUUGAGGAUGUGAAGAGAGAUAGAAUAACUGAUGGUUAUGGGACUUCCGAUCAGCCGCCGAGUACCUUGGAAGGAUGGAAAUAUACUGCUAAAAAUUUGUUGAUGUAUCAUCCGUCGGAUAGAGGUGAGGCUCCAUUGACGGAGGAAGAAAGGGCUGUAAGAUUGAAGGGUCUAACCAAAGAAAUUAACCGAUCAAGCACUCGGUUCCAUGGUAAAUUGAUGGAUUCAAGGCCAAAAGACGAUGGAUCGGUUGAAGUGAUUUAUGCCCCUGUGGCUGGAACUACACCACAUCCUGUGCUGGAUAGAGAUGGGGAUAGAUUGAAGAAGUAUGAUUUGGAGGAUUUGAGGAAGACCCCAAAUCCAUUUUAUGUAGAAUCAGGUAAAAGGGCUGAGAAUGGCUACAGUUUUGUCCGAACACCGUCACCUGCACCUGGUGUAGAUGAAUCUCCAUUUAUUACAUGGGGUGAAAUUGAAGGAACGCCCUUGAGACUUGAUCCUGAGGAUACGCCUAUUGACAUUGGGGGUUCUGUUGAUGGACCACGUUAUAACAUUCCAUGUCCAGCUGCAAGAGACGAGAAGGCUCAUUCACUUUCAAGGGAGGCUGCAAGAAAGCUAAGGGAGAAAUCAAAGAUGUUUCAGAAGCCUCCAUUGCCAUCACCUGUUAGAGGGGGAAGUGCUAGCCCAAGUGUAAAGAGGACUCUCUCUCCGGCCGCCCAGAAGUUUGUUAGGAACGCAAUAGCCAAGUCGUCAUCGUCAUUUGAUGAGACCCUUCGUGCCAGUUACAGAGGUGGAAGCCCGAGUGCCGCCACACCAAAAAGCGGGAGGAGUUUGUCUAGGUUUGCAAGGGAUGGUAGCUUUGGCUCUAGGUCACCUUCUGUUAAAGAAGGUUCAAAUCCUGCUUGGUGAUGUAAUUUGUCCAAUCGAUAUAGCAUAAGUGCUUUAUGUAUUCUAACAAUUCUGUCUUGAAAACCCUUCGUAGUAUCUCUUUUGUUUUACAAGGUGUACAAUGUCAAUGUAAAGAGCUCGCUAAUAUCCUUAUUUUGGAUAUUUGAAAACUAAUGAACGACCCAUUUGAUUGAUUGUUCUGGAAUCAUAAAAUGUGGCUCUUAUUUCUCCCUCUUCUGUGUUUAAUUUCUGUAUAGCGUAAAAGUUGAUUUGAUGAAUUUCGAGCUUUCAAUUACUAAGAAAGGGGUCUCAAGCUUUUGAUUUCACAUUGCACUGGAAUGGGAGUUUCAUUGUUCAAGAAACGUGAAUUGUAUAGUUAAGUGCAAGUAGUUUUCUAUUGAAGAUCGUUGAACAAACACGAAGUACGAUUAGUAAAAUAGUUAUUGCCUGUAGGCUCAAAUUGUAUUAUAUAUUUCUGUGGCUUCUUUUCUCUAAUUUUCUAUUCAAGGCUUAAUGGAUGACAGGAAGAGUCUUGCCUUUGAAGUCAUAACAGGUAGCGUAAAAGGAAUAGUUGAUUAUUAAAGAAGCUGUACAGUAUUUCACUCUGCAGUGAACUUAACAAAAGUAAGUUUUGGGAUUGAGGAAAAUGCUGCAAGGAAGCAAGGGUGGGGCCGCUCUUUUUCCAAAGCAUUUUCUCAAGCUUUCAGAAGCCGUGCCGUCUUGGGUGUAUUGGCCUUUGAAACGUGACUUCUUCCAUAAUUCAACUCUUUCUCAUUAUUGUUUAAUCUCUUUUACUAAUUUUCCCGAUUCUUUUUUCCAGGUAUUUGUUCCCUGUCAAAUCUCAUUCACCUGCUCAAAUGGGAAAAAAAUUAUAAUAUAUGAACGGAUACAAAGGGAUAGGGACGAGUAGAACCCAAAAAUAUGGUUCACAUGACAAGGGAAAGAGGGAGAAAGCCAACCUUAUUAUAUUGGCCGAGGUGUUUUACAAGUUCAAGAAUUCAACUUUUCAGCAACCGAGAACGUUUUUGAAGCCUUAAAAUAUGGGGUAUGGAGAUUACACUCGUGUGGAUUUGACUUUUAACUUUGAAGGAAUAAAAACUGCACGAAUGUAUGUGGACAGACUUACAUUUUUCCCUCUUUUCUCUCAUCCAUUUUCCUAAUUUAACACCGGGUAAUGGAUUCUAGAAUCUUUGGUUGUACUUAUUUCUUCGAUUCCUGAGAUGGCGCCUUUCAUUUAUGGCCAUAAGAAGGCAUAACGUUGUUCACUAUCAGCAUUUGCUUUAGUUCAAAGAAUCCCCAACUCACUUAGCUAUUUGAAACUUUCAUAAAUUCUGGUUUGGAGGUCCUUUAGGAGUUCUGUUGAUGGCAGUAAUUAGCCCCAAAAUCAGCUCAGUGGCUUCUAGUCCUUUCACUUCACCGAAUAUUGGGGUUUUGCUCAAGAUCAAGAUUAUUUCAUGGUUGGUUUCACUGUUUUUAAGAUUAUAUUGCUUCAUCUAUGAUUUUGCCUUGAUUUCUGAUUAAGUAGAUUAUGUCUCAGGAGCCAAGAAACUGGUCUGCCUGUUUCUGUUCGGAUUCGAGUUGGUGAUCGGAUCUUCCACCUCCACAAGGUAAAGAUGAUCUCGGAAAUAUAUCAGUGUAUCCUAUUCUCUUCUUUCUUUUUUCCCCCUCUAAAUAUCCAACAUUUCUCUUCAUAUUCAACUAUGAGAAUAUUAAAUUUUUACCAUGUUUGUUGUCACUCUGCAGCAUCCUCUCCUAUCAAAGAGUGGAUACUUCCAGAAGAGAUUGAAUGAAUCGACCGAGUAUGAGCUUCCACCAAACUUUCCUGGAGGACCUGAAACCUUUGAGUUACUUGCACUGUUCAUCUAUGGCUCCUCUACUCUAGUUGAUCCUUUUAACGUAGCAGCCCUCCGAUGCGCUGCAGAAUUUCUUGAAAUGACAGAUGAUUACUGUUCCAGUAACCUAUGCGAACGAUUCGAUAUCUAUUUGAAUCAAGUGGUUUUCCAAAGCUGGGACGAUACACUAAUUGUACUCCAAAAGUGUCAACAAUUGCUUCCUUGGUCCGAGGAGCUGUUAAUUGUAAGCCGUUGCAUUGAAUCGCUUGCCUUCAUGGCUUGCAUGGAGAUCCUUGACCCCGAGAGAAGACGAGACCAACCAGUUGUAACAAUGGAUGCAUUGGCCAGUCAGGUUUGGAGCUGUGAAAUCGUGAAAGAAAUCUUGUGCCAAGAUCUUUGGAUCAAGGACCUCAUUGCUCUGCCAUUUGAAUUCUUCAAAAGAGUAGUGGGAUCCCUGAGAAGACAAGGUAUGAAAGAAAAAUAUGUCAGCCCCAUCAUCGUUUUCUACGCAAACAAAUGGAUUCUUUCCGAAAAAAUGCGCCAAUUCUGGGAGAGUACUGAUGAGAAGAUUGUAGAUGAUGAAGCAAAUGAAAAGGUUUCAUAUAUUUUGCAAGGUCUCCUUGAUCUUCUACCUAUGGGACAUAGAACUAGUAGAGUGGUUCCUGUAGGCUUUUACUUUGCAUUGCUUUCAAAAUCACUUGAAAUUGGCCUGAAAAGUAACAGCCUACAAAAACUGCAAGACCAGAUAGCAUCAGUAUUACAUUUUGCCCAAGUGGAAGACUUUCUUCUACCGAAAACAGGGGCAGACUCGGUUUCUUCCAGCAUCGAGUUAGCUACUAUGGAGAAGAUACUAGAGUUAUUUGUAUCUUCUAACAUGAAGAUGAAUCACAACCAUUCAGGAAGCAACUCAAUUGUGGCAGAGUUGUGGGAUGAAUAUCUAACCUAUAUAGCUCCUGAUCCAAAACUCGAUCAGAAACGAUUUGUGGAACUCAUUGAAAAAGUGCCUGGGGCGUGGCGAGAGAAUCACAAUCACCUUUAUAGGGCAGUAAAUACAUUCCUGCAGGUAAAUCUCGAUGAAACUCUAUAUUCUUCAUGACGUAACUCUUUAAUAAUCUGUUUUUCUUUUCUUGAAACGCCAUUCCAAAUGAGGUUUAGACCUAUUUACUCAGCUGUAUAGACCAAUAAACAAGAUUCUAAAGCAUUGAUUUUGUCAAUUACUACAGUACAAAUGGGUCAAACAAAUUUGUUCUAUUUUGGAAAAUGCCAAGGCUCUACCAGCUCCUUAACUGUGAAAGAUUUGGUCUCUAUCUUUUGUUCUUCAGGCACAGUCGCAACUUUCCCAAGAGGACAAAUGGGCAGUAUGCAAGUACCUCAACUGCCAGAAGCUAUCACAAGAGGCGUGCAUUGAGGCUGUUCAAAAUGAGUUGAUGCCCCUUCGUUUGAUAGUCCAGGCGCUUUUCGUUCAGCAAUUGAAUACCCAACAGGUAUUCAAGGAGUGUUCAAGCUCAUUUAGGUUUGCACGUUAUGGCGAAUUCUCAGGAAGCAUUUCAAGCUCUAGAUUUCCGAACUCAAACAGCCAGAAUCUACGAGACAGUCCUUAUACAGAUGGAGCUGAUCCAAACAGAAGAACCUUAAGCUUCUUGCUACAGAAAGACCAUGUGAUCCAGACACAUGAAUCCUCUAGAAAUGAAUACGAGUCGACGAGUUUCCGAAUCCAGAAUCUGGAACAAGAGCUGAUUGCCUUGAAGAAAAGCAUUCAAUGGCAGACGUUGUCCAAGAAAACGGAGAUGUUGUCGAGCAGCAAAGCAGAAGGAAGAACAAAACUGCCUGAUGUCGAAAGUAGAUACUCGAACAAGAAAAGGAACUCACACGAACAGGUAACGGGGUGCAUCGGCUCUGUUAACUUUUCUGCUCAACGAAACUAUGCAAGUCGUCUAUUUAAGAUCUUCAGCGGAAUACGUCUAUUUGGAAGUAGGAAACAAAAAAGAAAGUCGGGAUUUCCGGCCCUUUGGCGCAGAUCGAUGUAUCAGAUUAACCAUAGGCUGGAUUUGUAAAUAAAAACUCAGAACAGUUCCUUUAUGGAGAAUGUAUAAUCAAUCUCUUGUAACCUCAAGUAUGUUAAGGAGCAAAGGAAAUAGCCAUUUAUUAUGAACUUCGACUGCAUGUUUGCUUUUUUACCAUUGCAUGCACAAAUUAGUACAAAGUUGUGGCAGCAUUCAUUCAAAUUACACCAGUUUUAUGUUCCUAACAAAACGUUAACAAAUGAAGUCAUCUACUUUAUAUAUGAUACCCAUCUUUUAGAUGUCAUAAACAGCUACGGAUCUAUUAAAGAGUUUAAGAACACGUAUCAGACACUUGUUAGUGCAACAAAUAUAUUAGACAUGCAUUUACUUUGAUAAGUCAUAUAUUUUUAGAAAAGUAUUUCAUUAUCAUGUCUAUCUAAAUUUAUAAAAUAUUUGAUUUGUUGCACUAAAUUCAAUUGGGUCUACAAUUUAAAAUUGCUAAUUUAAAUUUUAUUUAAUUUAAAUGUAAUGUAAAAAUAAUUGAGAUUAAAAUUUGUCUGAGCCCGGGUUCGAACCGGGGACCUCUAGUGUGUGAGACUAGCGUGAUAACCAACUACACCACCCAGACGUCAUAUUAACAAAAAGUUUAUUUUAAUUUAAUAUUUAGUUUUUAUUAUAUCAAGGAAAAUUGUUUUAACUGAAACAUCUGCUAAAAAUUAAUAAUCGUCGCCUGAGAGAUUCGAACUCUCGCGGGGAAACCCCAUGUACUUAGCAGGCACACGCCUUAACCACUCGGCCAAAGCGACAAUUGGUGAACACCAAAAUGAACUUUUUGAUCAUAAAUAAUAAGCAUUAUUGUGAAUCAAACAAAAACUACUUUUGUGAAAAAAAAAAUUAUUUUCAACCAAUAAUAUAUAGAUAAUUUUAAAUAGAAAAUUGCUGAAAAUAUUUUUUUAAAAAAAGUACAUAUUUAGAUUAUAUUAAUUAUAGAAAUUAUUGAUAAAAAUCUAUUAAUAUUUAUGAUUGUGUUUAUUAUAUAUAUAAUCUAAAUUUUUACUAUAUUUUGGUUUUUUUUCCUACUUCUGAAAUGUACGUAUGUUGUAGCAAAAAAAAAUUAAAAGAUAAAAAUAUUUAGUAAGUUUUCUUUUAUUAUUAUCAAAUAUUGGUAUAUUUUAUUGAUGCAAAAUCUUCAUUUUGGAAAAUGGUAAAAAAAAGAAAUUUUUACAAAAUAUUCAUAUUUCGUACAAAAAUUAAGUAUAAUGAAUUUAGUGUUUGUUUUAUUAUAUGGACAAAAAGAUUUACUUUGGUUUCUAAUAAUAAAUAUUCAAAUUAAUUGAUAACAAGGAGGUAAAUUUAUAAUUCUUCAUCUAAUUUUUUUUAGAACCAAAAUUGUUCACGAGAAACUCUUUUUUUUACCAAGGUAUUGUAAUAAAGGUUGGGAUAGAGAUUUGAAUCUAACCUCUUGUCCACAGAAAUACAUAGGUGUCAGUUGAACUAAGCUCAUGACAAAAUUCUUUAUUUGAAAAUAUUUUACAAUUUAAAAUAAUUUCUCAAUUUUUUUUAAAAAAAUUAGUAACUUUUCAUUAUUUUCUUUUGAUUAACCUUUCUUUCUCAACCAACUUCAUAAAGUAUUCAACCCAAAUUAUAAUGUUAUUCAAAUUUGACUAACGAAAAAUAAUUGUUCCAUGUCAACACUUCAUUUACUUCAAACCUUACCCUUACAACAGAUAGGUAUAGAAAAUUGUUUAAUACAAUGAACUAAAGUCACGCUUAUGACGUAAUCUUAGUUGAUUUCAAUUGAACUAUAAAUUGAAAUGACCCUUAAUAGUAAAUCAAUGUGAUUUUGAUUGGUAGUGUUUACUCAUCUAAUUUUUCAAAAGUAAUAUGAUUCUGAUUCAUUAUGUUUAUUUGACAUCAUAAAUUUAAAGGUGGAAUGAAAAUGAGUAAAUUGCUCUCAUAAUGUCAUUUCGGAUGGACUUCAUCAAACACGCCCAUUCACCAACAUUUUCAAAACAAAUUUUCAACUGUUUUAGACUACUCUUAUUUCUGUGCGAUUCAACUUGUAGUUUUUAUUGUCCAACGUGCAUCAACCAUUUGUUCAUUGUUCUUUAUGCAAGUGUAAUAUAUUCUUCCAUUAACUUUGAUUUUUUACUUCGUUUCAUAUCGUAAUCGUCGUCAAUUACUUAUUCAUACAUCUUCAAUUAGGGACUUUGAAGAAUGUAUACAUCUCGAUAAUUUAUUUGAAACUUGAACUUGCAUAUUACUGUCGAUACUUUUCAAGUAUAUUAACAAGUUAUAAUUAAUUUUGUCACAAUAGUUUAUUUAGUAUUCCUUUGAUUCAUGAGUACUAAUGUCAAAACUAUAUGAUGUAUUAUAUGUUCAAAUCAUACUUAUCAAGUUAGAAAUCAAAUCUUCUUAUCGACUAUCAAUAUGAAUGUGUGUUUUACUGACGAUCAUGUUGAUUAGGUCAUCUAAAUGUAAGUCGUUAAAUUGAAGGUGAUAAGUGAAUAUAUUGACACCGAUUUAUCGAUAAUAGUAAAACUAUAACAUAAUUAAAUGUACCAAUGGAUACUUAUAUCAAUUUCACGUCAAGCUAACAUGUAUUUAAAAAAAGUUACACAAACUUAGAUUAAAAAUAACAUAAAACAUACCAUAAUAAAUGAAUUUAUUAGACCGAGAAUUGAAUAGAUUAGAAAUUUGUAGAUAAUUGAAAGCUCAAAACUUAAUAAUUAUAAUAUUAAAAAUUGAGGGACUAAUAGUUUAAAAAGAAAAGAAAAUAUUUUAGAGAUCAAUAUUCUAAGUAUUGAAUUUUUAACGUCUAAGAUAAGUUCACAAGUCACUAAUUCGUAAUGGGAGUGAAGGACACCUAAAUUUCAUCUCAUACCUAAACAUUAUUCAAUUCACCUUUUCGUUUCUUUUUUAAAUUCGAUAUAUAUAUAUAUAUUUCUUAUCUUGACAAAUAAAAAUGAAAAGAAAAAAAAAGCAAAGCAAAUGAAUCAUAAUCUCUAUAUGUCAUCUUCUUCUUCAUCUUCAUUUCUAGUUAUGGCUUCCACUGUCCUUCUCAGCAACUCCGAUCAAUCCUUCUCUUCUCAUCUUCUCCUCUUGCGAUUUUCUACAAAAUACCACCCAUGAAUUCACCUCCAAGCUCACGCAAAUCCCUACCAGCGUCGAAAGCCCUAAGCAAUACGCUAAUUUCGCGUACGAUCCACUCGCCCCCAUCGCCUCAAAUCCUUGGAACACAUUCACCGCUCCCAUCACCACACAUGCGUAUCCCACGAAAUGAUGGUAUGAUUUCCAAUACUUUCUGAAUUUGUUCGUCGUUUUCGGCCUGAAUAGCAGCGCCAAUGUCUGUAUUCCCCCCAGGGCAAAAACCCCAAUCCCUAGUUUUCUAUGUAGCGAAUACUCCACUCCUGGUGAAAGCUCUCCCAAUCGGAUUCCAAUCACGAAUCCGAUUGUUCCUAGAGCGAAUCCAGCUAGUUGGACUCCUGCGUGCGCGUAGAACCACGCCGGGCCUAGGGUUUGUACGUGUCGGAGGUAUCGCGCUGUUACUGCGCCGAUCGGGAGUAGUAGUCCCCAUGAUAUGGCGUUCAGGAUGCCGUGGAUUACUUUGAGUGUUUCGAUGUCGUUGGUUUGGCUUGCGGCGGUGCCUGAGGCCACGUCGAGAGUUGCAAUUGAAGAGAGGUCGUCGGAUGUGGUUGGAUGGAUGGUUGGGGAAUAGCCUUGGACGUAUAAUCCGCGGUUCCAUAUGAGAUGGAUUUUCGUUUUGUUUGGGAUGAGUUUGAGAGUAGCGUAGAUUUGGAUGGCGGCGCCGUUGUGUACGGUGGCCAUUUUCCCACCGUACAAAGCUGCGGAGGAGGAAAGUAGACGGAUGUCGAGAGGGCGAGAGAGAAGAGGGGUUCUCUGUAACUUUACAGUCGGGUCAAGAACGUAAGGGAGGACAACGAUUUGGCCGGAGUUUGGAUCGGAGAAGGCGAUGAGAACACGAGCUCCGGUCAUCCCCGGUGACGUGGGAUUGAUUCCCCAGCCGACCCAACCGGAGGGAGAAAUGAAAUUGCCGAAGAAGACAAGGUCCAAAGUGGCAUUGUGAAGGUGAAAAGUCCAAGCAAUGGAGGCUUGUUGGGUUGGGAGAUUCAUACAUUGCUGGAAGGUUUUGAUGGCGGUGACGGUGGUGCAAUGGGCGGCGAGUGCGACGGAGAUGGAGGAAAAGAGGAGGAGAAGGAGGAGAUGAGGACGGAGCAUGGUGGCCGGAGGUGAAGGAAUGAGAGAAUGGUAGGUGAAGUGAAGGGGGUAAUGAAGUAAAGUGGUAGAAGAAGAAGUGGAGAUUAUGAGUAUGAUAAUGUUGGUAAAUGUAAUGAUGUAUUUGGAAUUUGAGCAAUUUAGAAGCAUUGAAGGAUGAAAGUGAUGGAACAUCAUUAUGUCCACUUAGCUAAUACUUUAGGGAAAUUUGCUUUGAAGACAAGUAACCCUUCAUUACUAUGGUUUAGUAGGUAAUUAACACUCUAUUUUCCACUUUCAUAGUUGGGUUAAUCUUAUAUAUGAUGUCUUCGAUCUAAUUUCCUUUAAAUGUAAAAGGUUAAGCUAUGUUUUCAAUAGCCAAAUUGAGCCUAACGAAUUGCCAUUAUGUUUUCCAUCUUUAAAAUGUUUAAUACUGAAUAGCAUCAUUAUGAAUAACUUGUAUUUAUCUAUAGCAACAACAAUAUGCAAAAGCAGAGAAAUGCUAAUUUCACUUAAGGAAUGAAAUGCAAAAGUGACAAAUACCCCAUGUUUGAAAAACGACGUCCAAAACGGUUCACAGACUGAACAUCUUUCUCUUCUUUACCGGAUCAGUUUUCUUCUUCAGAGAUAACAAGCAAAAACUUGUUGAUUGAUAUGUGAGAAUUUUUUUCAGCUACCAUCAAAAUUCGUAUGAAUGAAAGGUUGAUUUUUCAAAUUUCAUUUACCUUUCACAAUACAUACAAAGUUCAUUACAUUAACGAAUUGUUUCAUUAUGUAUAGCAUGAACAAAAUCACUCACAAACCUCUCUCACACAUAUAUAUACUGCCUAGUAUAUGGAGUUUAUUUUAAAACAAAAACAACUCUAAUUUAUUUUACAUAUAUCUUUAUUUUUAUUUUGUAAUCUAAAAGUCUUUUAACUUAAGAAAAAAUAAAUUAAUCAAGACAAGCAUUUAACUCAACUUAUAUAUAAGCAUGUUAUUGACCAUAAAAUUUGUGGUUAGAAUAUGAUACUAUCAAAUGAGAGAGAAGGUGGAGAAUGUGACGAGGGGAGCAAAUGUGGAAGAGGUUGGGGUUAUGAAAGUUAUGAGUUGGUAUAUGGAAUUUUAAGGAAUUUAGAAGAAUUGUGGUGGUGAAAAUGAUGGAUCAUUAGUAUUCCCUCUAAACUAAAGGAUAUUUGCUUUGAGGAUAAGUUACACCUAAUUGGUAUAUGGACUUUCAUUUUUUUUCAAAUCUUGGAUUAAACCUAAGUUUCCAAUUUAAAAUAAUGAUGUCUUUGAUCUUCUUUAGUUUAAAUGUAAGGUUAAAGCUACAUUUUAAGCACUCAAUCUCAAAUUUUAAGUUCAAAUUUGUCUCUCCCAAAAAGAAGAAUAUCAAAUUGGUGUCUAAUUUGUUGUUAAGGCGAUUGAUAUUAUCAAAAGCUAUUGUUUUGACUAUUUAUCGUAACAUAAAAUUAACUUAAUGUUUAUCAUAAGUUUAUCAUUUUUAAACUAUUAAAAGUUAUAAGUCUCAAAUAAAAGAAAUAGUUAAGUUGGUAUGAGAUGGAGAUAGUUAAGAAUGUAACAAAUGGAUUAAAAAUAUUAACAAAUAUAAGGAUGAAACUAAAUCUAUAGGAAUCCCUAAAUCCUCAAAGUUAAUGUUAAUGUCAAUGGCGUGUUUUCGUAGAUGAACCCCAAGUUAAUUGAGCCCACUCUAAUGGAGCGACAGAUGUUGGUGGGCUUCUCUUGGAAAUGGCAGUUGGGCUUCCUCUCCGCCGUCUUUGCUAUUGCUUUCUUUCCUCCUCAAAUGAAUAGUGUCGUCAUGAAUUCAUUCCAGGAAAGUCUUCUGAUACACACUGGUUGUGAGUCCCAGUGGGAUGGGAGAGAUGAAGAAAAAUGGGGUGAGUUUAGAAGGGGAAAGGGUAAUUUUGGUGCCUUACAUGGAAGAGCAUGUACCCAAGUAUCAUCAAUGGAUGAAAGACCCAGCUCUUCUUCAAGCCACAGGCUCCGAACCCCUCACUCUUGAUCAAGAGUACCAGAUGCAACAAUCAUGGACCCAAGACCCAAAAAGUACUUCAUUAUCUUCAUUUGUUUGUUUCCUCUCUCAAUUUCAUCAAAUUUUUAUCUCGGCUGUUUUUCAAAUUCUUGAUAUUGAACAAAAUAAUGUUCCGUUUGUUUUCGCAAUGCAUUUUAACAUCGUGUGGAUUUGGGGGUGGCUUUUUCAGAGCAGACUUUCAUUGUAUUGGAUAAGGAAUUGGUUGAGGGAAAAUUCAUCCAUGGAAAUUCUGGUGUUGAAGGUUAGUUCUUUGGUCUUUAGUUUAACUGAUAAUUUUUGGGCUGGGGGGUUGCUUUGUUUAUACGCUUUGUUUCUAUAUUUCCAGCAAUGGUUGGUGACGUGAAUCUUUACAUGAAUGAUCUGGAUGAUUCUCUUUUAGCAGAGAUCGAAAUAAUGAUAGCUGAAUUCAAGAGGUACCAGAUUUAAUCUUUUUGUCAUGUGAUGUUUUUGUUCCUUGAUUGCUCUAAUGUUUACGGUAAUGCUUUUUGAUCUCUAAUUUUCUUCAAUGAUUGUGGUUUGUGAAGUUCUGUCAAUAUAAACAGCCAUUUAUGCUCUGCCUAAUUCUAUGUCAUGGUUCUCUUCAUAGUGUCUUGUUUAUUGGUUAUUGCUUCUUCUAUAAGAAAAUUUCUACGUUUUGUGUUGUUCUGGCUGAUUAAAAGCAAUGAAGUACCAAAUUAUGGAAAGCAACGAAGUGUUCUUUUAAUUGAGUCAAGAUAAGAAGGAAAUAGAAUGCUUGAAUGAAUCUUCGAAUGUGCAUGUAUUGGUAACCAUUCUAUUUCUCCAAUCUGAGUAUAGCUCACUACUUGAGGCAUAUGCUCAACCAAGAAUCUGACGUUUGAAUCCCCAUACCCACACGUUGAACUAAAAAAAAAAGUCCCUUUUUCCUUGCAAUGUGUUGGGUUGAUUCUUGGCCAUGUAUGUGGAUUAUAUUGUGACGAGAUUUUGUUCUUCAUUUGCUAGUUUCGUAUACUUUUUGGGAUCAAUGUUUUACGACGUCCACUAAACUUCCUACAUCUAUGUUUUUGUUAGCAUAGCCGUGGUAAAGGACUUGGGAAAGAAUCUGUCCUAAUGAUGAUGGCAUUUGCAGUCAAGAACCUCGGGAUCCAUACUUUCCGGGUUAAAAUUGGAGACUCGAAUGAAGGGUCUCUCAGUUUGUUCAAAAAAUUGGUUGGUCUCUCUGUCCAGAAAAGAACUUAUUUUUUGAAAUAACAUUUAUGUCUUAUUUCUAGUAGCUAAAAUUUCCGUUCGUUGGAUACAAAAGAAUCCGCACCAAUCCAAGUCGGCAUGUUUUGAUAUUGCCAACAAAUUCACAUUUCCUCUUAAAAAUUGAUAUUGCACUAUUGUUAGUUUUCUUUUUCCUUUUAAACUAGUCCUUCUGUAAUCUUCACUAAAAGACCCCUUUUAUUUGGUGUAGGGAUUUGAAGAGACUUCUUACAGUGAAAUCUUCAAGGAGGUGAGCUCUUUCUCUAUUUUCUUCCUAACUGAUAGGCCGCUCCCAAGACGAAUCUAUCUAAAACCAUGUGACCUAUGCUUCAGUUUAUUAUUCAAUUUAGUGACGUAUAACAACUUACACGAGUCUUUUAGGAUGUUGAAGAUAUGCAGAUAGCUAAAAGCAUGCUUACUAUUUAAUUUAAGGAAAACCUUACGUCUAGUUUGACUGUGAAAAGUUUAUUAAUAUGAGCUGAUGCGUCAAAAUCUAUUUGACUAAGAUGCAUAUGUGGAUCCUUUAGUUACAAUUUUCUUAAAAGAAAAGAAACCAAUUACCAUUACUGGUUGAUUGAUUGACUACACUUGACAAAUUUAUGCGUGUGUACAUAUACUAUAGUUGGUCUAAUAAUUGCGAGACAACCUUAUCACACGAACAAAUUAUUAGUUUUGUUCCAUUAUGGAAACACUUGAUGGCUCGGAAAUUUUUUCUUGUUCUUUUUCCAUGUACCCACUUUAGAGAGUUAUGCUUUUAGAUAUUAAGCCUGAGCUAAGUUAUCAUAUAAGUGGGCCAGGCCAUAUUUGAUUCUGACUUUAUUUACUUUUGCACAUUUGGAAGGUAACUCUGGAGUUAAAGGUAACAAAGUCCAAGCAUGAGGAGUUGCUUGAUGUGUUUGGCAGAAUAGUUACUUACGACUAGCGCUCAAUUGAACUUUCCUGCCGGUUCUAGAUCUUGAUUUUCUAACAUUAAAUGUGGGAAACUCCUGUGGAUUAUCUGAUAUUAUGUUCAAACAUCUGAUACUUGAGCAAGAAGCAAAUCGAUAUAAUACACAAGAAACCUUCUAUAAAAAAAGAUCAAAGUUAUGACUUAUUUACAAGACAUUCUUUCCCUGAUCACCUCAUCUAAUCGUCACACUUUCAUCAUGUUAUGUAUUUGUUUGUUUGCCUUUGUAUCUUUUGUGUUUCUGUAGGUUUUCAAGAUGCUUGGUUUGACCUUCUGAUGUGGACUUUCGGAGAUCAGUCUAGAAGGUCCAAAUCUCAUACCCCCCACCAAUUUUGGCAUCUUCAUAAAGACUUAAAUGGCACGGCAGGUAUGAAGUCUCUGUUUUAACAUUUUCUUUCAAAUGAUCUGUCUUUAGUUUCAGAGUAACAAUUAGAAUAUACCUGAAGUUAUUGAAAUUUCACGGUUUCGUCUACAUGAAACUGUUGACACGGGGCAGGGUAAUUGAUGUCGCUUUAAUAUUCAAAAUAUUUGCCGUUAUUUUGACAAAAAUUUACCCUGUCAAUUCAACAUAUUUUUAUUUUCCUUUGGUGUGAACUCAAUUGGUUCAAGACCAAUUCUUUGGAAUAAUCAACAUCCAAUCUCAUUACUUUAAAAGGCUUGAUUUUUUUACAUUUUGUAUCAACCCCAUUUGAUUAAUUGAACAUCAGAUCAGGAUUACCAAUAUACCAUAAGCACCCCCUUUGUUUGGUGAUGAGCAGAUCUAAAAAGUAGACUUGUUUAUAAGAACUCUUGAUUAUUUUAUGCAAAUUAUGAGUCAACAGGGAAGUAGUCCAAAAGAUUAGGCAGUUGGAUUAUGAAUCCAAACCAUGUUAAAGGGGGGAUAUAACAUGACUUCUUGGUGGUAGCUGCUCUAAAAAACCUAAAAAAAGGGGGAUGUUUUUGGUGGGUAUGAAUAUAAUUUUGAGUUCAAAAUGAUGGAUGAAGGAUUUAUUUAUUUAUCCUAUAUAUUUUUUUUUGAAAGGGAUGGUAUAAGGAUUUAGUUCCCUAAUUUUCCAAGAACAUUUUUUUUUUUGUUUGGACAUGAAAGUUUUCGGCAUGCAGAAAAGGCAUAGGUCCAAAAAGGCUGUGGAGGCUGAUUUGGGCAAUUUCCUAUCAUUUUCCACCACUGUGACCAAUCUCUCUUAGGCUUAGGUCAAUUAACUUUGAUGAUGAUGGAAGUACGAACGUAUGUAUAGAGAUGGUUGUAAAUAUAACAAUUAAGUUUGAGGUCUUUCUAAAUUUUUGUAUGGUACAACAAACAAGGUAUAAGAACUCGAACCUUGGAUCUCAAUAGAAGUAUUACACAGAAAUUACCACCAAAAAUUACCACCAAGUUAUGUUCCCUUUGAUAUAAUAAUGAUACGAUGUAUGACCUGAUAAAUAAUAGGAAAUAUCUAAGUUUUAAUGAUGGGAAAGAUGAAGAAUAGUAAAAUAUCCUUUGGGUUGAUUAAAUGAAUAAUAGAAGCAAAGAGACCAAGACAACAAAAGAAUAAAGUAAAUGGAGUGGUGGGUCUGCUCCAAAUGUAAAACAAUUAUUUGAGCACUUUAAAAGAUUGUUUAAUUGCAAUAUCAAUUUUAAAAUUGGGUUAGAUAGGAUGGGAGGCUCAAUAAAGAGGGAGCAGUUGGGUGUAUAAUAUUUGUAAAGUAUCAUUAUCAAACCUUAUUAUAAUAAGAUUUCAACCUUAUAAUUUAUAAUUUAAAUUAAUAAAAGCUUCCAAACAAUAUAGCCUUCAAUCAACUAUAUACAAUAAUCCUAAUAUGUGAUUUUGACUUUGAUUUGAGUUGCAUCAUUAUUUUUCAUGGAAGAAUUUUUCCUUUUUUUUAUUGCACAUCAUUUCCUCAUUUUUGUUUGUGUUCUUUUUCAUCUUUUCAAGUUUAGGUUAUAUAUAUAUAUAGUUGAUAAAUUUAUAUUUGGGUUACAAUUGAGUUUUUUUUUUUUUUUACUAAUUAGAAAUGUAAACUAUAAAUUUGAAGUUCAUAAAUAUUUGGAGACUUAAUAGGAGAUUUAUGACAAAACAAAUAUUGAUUUCAAAAAUAGAAAUUAAAUCAAAAUUGUACAUAAGUUAUUAGAUUUUAAAGAAAGAAAAUAUAUUUUUUCUUUUCUAAUCAUAACCAUUAGAAAGUUGUAGGUGAUUGAACUUUCAAUCCCUAAAAAGAAAAGUAAUGCAAAUAAAUGGAGUUCUAUUUUGUUAAAAGAUGGAUAAUUUUCGUUCAAUUUAUUAAUAUCUUUCAUUUUCAACUACAUGACCUUAACGUUUCACAACCCAUACCUUAACGUUUCACAACCUAUUUUUAUGUGAUGUAAGAAAAUUUAAUAUUUAUUAUUGAUAAAGCUUUAUUAAAUUAAAUUAAUAUGCAAAGAGGAUUAAUGCUUAAAAUAACACACGUGUGGGAAAAAAAAAAACAUGGCGUUUUCAAUUGCGGAAUUUCAUGAAAUCUAAGCUAUAAAAUGUUUUCUUUCUUUCAAAAAGCACUUUUCAAUAUUCAAUUCAAGUUCAUUUUUUAUUAAAAGAAAAAAAAAGGAGAAAAUAUCUUUUUAUUUAUAUGUAUAAUUCUACAUGUUAUUUAGUGUUUAGAUUUCAAAAUUUCACAUGUUUAUUUUGAAUUUGAGUUUAAUCUCUAUUAAAUUUUAAAUAUUAGAUUUAUUAGAACAAAAGUGAUUAUAUAUAUGUAUAUAUAGUGUUGGGAUAAGCAACAAUAUAUAAGGGAAAUUGUUAGGAAUAAUACAAAAAAGAAUGGAACUUAUUAUAAAAUAUAACAAAAUUUUAAAAUGAACUAUAGAGAAUUAGAUGAAUUUUGUUAUUUUUUAAAAUAUCUAUAUAAUAUAUUAGAAGACUCAUGUAAAGUUGAAGUCUGUUGAAUCUAUACAUUUAGCAGCAAUUAGAAAUAUUAAUAUGAGAAAAGAAAUAAAAUAGUUAAAAAGGGUAUUCUAAAUAUGCAUUGAAAUUAAAGAAAAGGAAAUAAAAAAAUAAAAAAAAAAGUGAGGAAAAUAAGAAAAAGGAAAAGAGAGAGUGUGAACACUGAAUGAAACGACGUCGUUAGGAUGAGAGCAAAUGCGUUGUAGAAAGUUGAACGAAGCCAUCAACACAACACGUCUCAUACCUGCCUUUUAGUCAAAGUUGUACAAAAUCCCCAUUCUUUCUUUUAUUAAAAUUAAUUUCCUCAAUUUCAUAUAUAUAUAUAUAUAUAUAUUCAUUUUCCUAUAUUUGUAAUUAGUCAGAAAAAUAAAUGUUUAAUUUUAUUUCCCAAAUAAUUUUCAUUGUUCUUUUAAACUUCGAUUCCACUCUUUUUCUGUUAUAUUAUUUGCCAAGUCAACAAGUACUAUUCUUCCCUUUGCUUCCUUCACACAGCCUCACCUAAUACUAAUUUUAAAUCCUUUUUCCUUUUUCUAUUUUGUAAGAAAAGCAAAAUCAUAAAUAUUGGAAUUCCGUUCCAUUGAUUUUCAAAUACUUAUAAACACUUACAAAAUCAAUUCAAUUUUAUUUUUGUCAUUGGUUCCACAACCAUCUUUCUAUAAUAAUAGAAAGGAGAAAUGUCCUUGGAUAAAAUGAAAGACACUAUGUUUGGAAAUAUUAAUAUGAGGAAGAGAAUGAAGUCAAACCCAACACUUACUUAACGUACGUCAGAAAGUCAAUCCAAACAUGGAAAAAUGAUAAACUAAGUUCAUCGAUUGAUAACCUCUCCUAAAUAUAUGAAAUUUAGAUUCCAUUUAAGAUUAUAAAACUUGAAAUUGGAAUGUUGAAUCAAUUUGUUAUUUUAUUUACUCAACAUAUGGUGUUCAUCCUAAUUUUUAGAAAUUAUAAGCUCACGGACAAAAUGAAAACACUAUUCAAAGUCAACAUUCAAAUCUUAAUUUGAUUUUUCAACAUUUUGUUUGUACUACAACUAUUUUUUUCUAAUAAAGAAAACAAAAUAAACCAAGAACGAACUAGAUACAAUGAAAGUCCAUCGAAUAAAAUGGAGGACAUUAGAUUUAGAAACCAAUCACUACAAAACAAAUCUUCAAGUUUCUCGUUAGGGAUAAAAGAAGUCAAGCCUCUACCGGCACAACAACAUGAACAAAACCUUAUUGGACGAGGAGAAGAACAUCCUAAGCAACAUUCCACCUCUAAUAUAAAUCCGCACAAUCAACGAAUAGUAAAUCAUCGAAAUUGUUUCUAAAGCAUCUCAAAGUCUUCGAGAAUCGCCGAACCUUCAAAUUAGUCUGUUUAAUCAUUGUAUUAAUCAUGAAUGAAUUAUUAAUAUAGUUUUUCAUCUAUGAAACUAGUUAUAGAUUUGAAAUUCCCAUAAUACCAUUAGUCCAAAAGGGAAUCACAUAAUGGCCACAAAAAUGAAGAUUUGAAACCCAAAAGUUAACUAGAAAAGAAAAACAAAACAAAACAAUCAUAGAUCUAAUUCAAAGCCUAGAGUUAAUUAAAUGAAGUAAUGUGGGUAGGUAAAGGGAUGGGAAAGAUUAUUUUGAAAGAGAACACAAGACUGAAGGUGGGUGAUUUCUUUAAGAUUUUUUUAACAAUGGUGGAAGUUGGAAUAAGUCAACAUUUUCAAAGUAUUUUUGCCUUCUCUUUCUCUUUUAGGUGGCUCCUAUUCUAUAGAAAUAGAAAAAAAAGAAGAAGAAAAAAUCCCAAACCCAAGCAAGUUUUUUCUAGAAGAAUGGUUGAGAGAGUAGAAAAAUUAGGUUAACAAAUGUGAGUUGUUGAAUAUGGACAGAGACACAUGAAGCAACCAAGAAGAAACAAAGACUUUCCCAAACCCCAAAACAAAAACAAUACAAAUUCACAUAGUUGAAAAGAAACAUCCCUUCAUGAACACAAAUUUAUCAAACUUUCCCUUCAAUUAUACCCUAUAAAUACUCACUUUUUUCUUCCUUCUUUCUCCCCCAACCAAUAAUCCCCUAUUCCCUCCAUCUCAGAAACAACAUAUCAACAACAAAACUGAAAACAAUUACCUCAAAUCCAUUCAGUCCACCAUGGAAAUAAAGCUCCAAAGCUUUUUCUCUGUUUUGAUCCUCUUCUCUUUAUGCCUCUCAGCCUCAGCUCAAACUUGCAGAAGCUACAAUGGAUUUACCAACAAUGAAGUAUUUGCAGCUUGUGU
This 65012-nucleotide long non-coding RNA is filed under the name Cucumis sativus (cucumber). Its description in RNAcentral is "long non-coding RNA (CSAT_LNC002603)". The stretch from base 29094 to 29181 matches the Rfam family "Small nucleolar RNA SNORD25". The record is from RNAcentral. Lineage: Eukaryota; Viridiplantae; Streptophyta; Magnoliopsida; Cucurbitales; Cucurbitaceae.